AUUCAUAAUGGAUUAUAACUUGAUCUCAUUCUUACCCUUUUUUCUAUAUUCAUUGAGUUUCAUCCUUUUUGUUUCACAGUUUCUAAAAGUGAGAAACAUAUCCAAAACCUCAGUGAAAACAUUGAAGCUUCCCCCAGGGCCAUGGAAGCUACCUGUCAUUGGAAGCUUACACCACUUAGUUGGCUCACUACCACAUCAUCGGUUGAGAGAACUUGCUAAAAAACAUGGUCCUCUCAUGCACCUACAACUUGGUGAGUCAUCAACCGUUGUGGUUUCUUCUCCAGAAGUAGCCAAAGAUGUCAUGAAAACCUAUGAUGCCAUCUUUGCUCAAAGACCGCAUCAAAUUGCCGCAGACAUCAUGUGUUAUGGUUCCACUGACAUUGCCACUGCACCAUAUGGGGGGUAUUGGAAGCAGCAAAGAAGAAUAUGCUCACAAGAGCUUCUAAGCAACACACGUGUGAGGUCAUUUCGAUCAAUAAGAGAAGAAGAAAUGCUGAAUUUUUUAAGAUAUAUUGAGUCCAUCACUGGUUCUAGUGUGAACCUCAGUGAGAAACUGUCACGCAUGACAAAUACCAUCACUGCAAGGGCAGCUUUUGGUGAAAAUUGCAAGGAUCAAGAAGAGUUCAUUUCCCUUGUCAGGAAACUUAUAAAAAUGGCCGAGCGUUUAAUUAUUUCUGAUUUGUUCCCUUCUCACAAAUGGCUUCAUCUGGUCAGUGGGGAGAAUCUUAAAUUGGAGGAGUUGCACAGAAAAUAUGAUGUAAUAAUUGGAAACAUCAUUACAGAGGCAGAAAAAAAUAUUGGUGAAGUAGAGGUUAAUACUCUCCUCUCAGUUCUUCUAAAUUUGAAACAUCAAGGUGCCCUCGAAUAUCCUUUGACAAUCGAUAACAUCAAGGCUGUAAUGUUUGUAAGUGUGUCCAUUUCUUUCAGUUAUUAUUUUCUUAUGUUACUGCAUAUUAUAGGAUUUAAGACCGACUUUCAUUUCCUGUUAAUAUAAAAUUAAAUAAACAAAAGCACAAAAAAUUUCAUCUAGAGUUAUAAUAUUGUGAAUGUAACUACAUACACUCAUAUAACUCUAUAAAUAUUUUUUCUUAGGUGUUACCUUUUUCUGUGAAAGUUUUGUAAGUUAUGCUUGCAAGUAUAAAUUCCAAAGCUAAUAAAUUUGAAUUGAUUUUCCUGUAGAACAUGUUUGCUGCUGGAACUAAUUCAUCACCUUCAGUCAUGUCAUGGGCAAUGUCAGAGAUGUUGGAAAACCCAAAAGUAAUGAACAAAGCUCAGGAAGAAGUUAGAAGAGUUUUUGGUAGUAAAGGAUAUAUGAAUGAAGAAUCACUUGAAGAACUAAAAUACCUGAAAGCAGUGAUAAAAGAAACACUAAGAUUGCACCCUCCCAAUCCUCUUCUUCUUCCAAGGGAAUGUAGAGAAACUUGUGAGGUGAAAGGAUAUACAAUACCCGUUGGGACCAAAGUGAUAGUAAAUGCAUGGGCAAUCAACAGAGACCCUGAUUAUUGGAAUGAUCCAGAUAAGUUUUAUCCCGAGAGAUUCAUGAACAGUGAAGUCGAUUUUAAAGGGUCCCAUCAUCAAUUCAUACCCUUUGGUGCUGGAAGGAGAAUGUGUCCUGGAAUGUCUUUUGGGAUAAAUAUAAUUGAACUUUGUCUUGCAGAACUACUUUACUAUUUUAAUUGGGAACUUCCAUAUGGAAACAAGAAAGACUUGGAAAUGACUAAAGCUUUGGGAGCCAUCCCAAUUAGGAAAACGGAUCUGGUCUUGGUUCCCAUUUCUUACAAUCCUCUUCCUUAAAUUUUAAUCAUUUAAGUGUUUAUAUACCACAUUUCACCGUUGUCCUUGUACCUCUUUUUUUUUUUUUUUUUAUGUUACUUGUGUGUUAGGAUAUUGUGAGUGAAUGAAAAUAAGAUGUGAAGUUUAUCUUCUUCAAAAAAAAAACACUCAUUUUAUUUAAGGCUUUUUUUCCCUAUUUGCUUCUUUUAUCUUUGAGAUGCUUUCUAAUUUUUUAGACUAGUGCAAUUCUUCAUUUAACUUUAUCAUGUUUUAUAUGAAAUGCUAAAAUAAACUUUUAAAUUAGACCAACGGUCAAUAUGAAAUACUAAUUAAUAGCAACAACCCUAAAGUAAUUAUGUCUCAUGAAAUUGUUACGAGUUUGUAAGAAGAAUCAAUCCAUCAUAAAUAUUUUAGGAAAUAUAGUGACAAGGGUAAUUGCUAAAUUUUAUGAUGAAAUUUUAAUGUUUGUAACAAAUGAUUAGAAAAUAAUAUUUGUAGAUUUUUGGAUUAUAUUGUGACUAGCUACUUCACCACAAUGAUAAUUUGAAGUUUUUUAGUGUUGAAAACUUGUGACAACUACACUUUUUUUAUUGUAGUAAUAAAAAUAAUUAAUAAUAGAAGGAAUGUUCCUCUUAUGUUGGGAUUUAGUUACCUGUCCAACAACUACACAAUAAUGUUUUAUAAAAGUGUUCGAUCAAUGGAAGAAGAAGAGUGAUUUUUAUGAUAUGUUAUGAAAUUAAUUUAUUUUCUUCUAAUUUUGUAAUCAAUUAGUUUAUCAGUUCUAAAUUGAUGAAAAAAAAAAAGAUUCAAAUAUAUAACGUUAACGGAAAUUUGUUAUCUUUUCAUAGUAUAGUAAUGUUUUCUGACUCAGUUUCCAAACUUUUCCAUCUUAAUCGCAGAUUAAAGAUUUACUUAGAUCAACAUAAUAUGGAAAGGAAAAGAUUUAAGACUUCAAUUUAUUUGUUACAACUUAGGUAUGUUAUUAUUUAUUGGAACAUAGUAAUGAGGGACAUGUAAAGUUGUAUUUGACAUUUAAAUGAAAUUCGUUUCAAUUUGUACAAAAUAUGUUCAUUAUCUAAUGGUAAUAAACUUAGACAAAAUUAUUGUUGUUAAAAUGGAUUAAAUUUAAGAAAAGUUGUAUAAGAAGUUCAACACAGCUACUCAAUAUUACUUUAUCAUUUAUUCAUUGUGGUCUUAUUUCAGAAAAUAAAAGCAAUAUUAAAAAGUUAAUUCAUAUCACUAUUUUUGUAUCUAUUCCUGAUUUAAAUAGAUCUUUGUUAUCCUUUUUCUCUUGUAUAUUUGCUUCUAGAUCAUAAAUUUCUCACGACCUUUUUAAAUCCUAUUUUGAUAACUAUUUUCCAUUUUUAAUAUAAAAGAAAAUAUUUGAUAAGGAGUAGUUUUUGAAAACUAUUUUAAAGUAGUAUCAAUUUUUUAGUUUCUGAUAUAAAAAACCAGAAGAUCUCUAAAUUGUUUUGGUUUUCUACUUGUAGUUUUCUAUUUUUUAUGUUCUUCCUUACACUGCCCCCAACUCUUCCCUCACUCCUAUUCACUAAAAAUUAGUAUUUGAAAAUUGUUUUAUAAACUAAAAAAAAGAAAUCAAACACAUUCUUCCUCUCUUGGUUUUUAAUUUUGGCUGUACAACACAACUUUUAAUGAAUAGAUUUACGGAUAAUUCCUAUAUAUAAAUACUUCUAGCAGCAUACUUGGAUUAUAUUUGUCAUUCUAUUUUAUAGAGUGGUGGUAUAAUGCAUUCGAGUUUAUUGAUACAUAUUGGAGCCUUGGCAAUUGUUAUUCGACAAACAAAUAUUAUAUGGGUGUUUCUUGUUGCAUGCACUGGGAUCAUAAAUAUUUCUGACUCAUGGAAAGUAAAAUACAAAAUCUAUCAAGUUUGAUGUGUCUGACAAGCAUGGUUUAGAAUAUGUUACUGGUACUAAAACAAAGGGUUCCAAUAUGAGAAAGCGAAAAGUUGUUAAAUCUGGCAAUACUAUCGAACACGCAUCAUCACGUGAUUCUUCUCCUUCCUCUUACUUAGGUUUGUUUUCACAUGUUUAAGAAAACCAUUAGUUCUAUUUUAUGACCCUAAGAAAAUAAAAUAACUAAAUAACUGUAGAUAAAAUAAAGUUAAUCCCAUCCUCUGACAACCUUUUUUAAAUAUAUAGGACUGGUUUUUUGCAAUAUAUAACAACAGCAAAAUAUGUUCAAUAGCAACACAAAACACAAAUCGAGUCCCAGAAACCAAACAUGUGAACACACAUACUGAUCAAAGUCGACGUAUUAGAACUCUAAUAUAAUAAAGACUAAUGUAUCAUAAUUAUGAUAUAUUAAAGACAUUGAUUUAGCAAUCAUUAAUUGUGUGUGUGAAGACUUAGCAUGUGGUUGGAUGGAUGUUAAUAUCUGUGUGAAGACUUAGCAUGUGGUUGGAUGGAUGUUAAUAUCUGUGGAUCCUCGGUUAUUAAAACAGAUGUCAAUAUCUGUUUGUCCUUCAUGCUGAAGAUAAUGCCUAACAACAAUAACAAGAUUACUUUUCAUUACCCUUCUAAUAUCCAUAUCUAAAAGUGGUGUAAUGUCCCUCAUUAUCUAAUUGCCAUGUAGAUAUUAAGAUUAUUUUUAAGGAAGGAAUAUGUAUGACAUUAUUCAAAUUCCACAUGUUUCCAUUAGAUGUUUCAAUGUUAAUAUCAUAUCUUCCCACAAUAUCAAGAAAUUUUCCAACUGCAAGAUAUAUCUUUCCCAAACAUUCCUAAAACAUAGAUAAUAGUUCUAAGGAAAAGUGUAGUAUAGAUGCACCUAAGUCCACAAUCCAUAAGUCAAUGUAACUAUCUAAACUAAAUAUUAGUGCAUUUGCAAUUUCAUUAGUGUUUGCAUUUGCUGUUUGAUCAUCAUCUUUUUUCUUUUUGUUAUUGUUCUUCCUUGAAGAUGAACAUUGAUUAGUAAAGUGACUCUUUUUCUUACAAUUUCAACAAGUGAUAUCAUUUCAGAAUUUUUGUUGUGAUCUCCCUCUAGACUUUGGUCUAUCUUGGCCUUUAUUACAACCUUUCUUCUUCUAAUUGCACUACUCAAUGUUGAACCAGAAUUAGAACUAGAAGAUUUCACUAAACGUUUCUGGCCAACAUCUUCGCUUAAGAUCAAGUCACAAAUACUAUAAAAUUUUAACUUGUUAUCACUUGUAGAAUUACUAACUUUAGUAACAGUUGUACCCCAACUUUCCAAAAGAGAUGAUAAUAAAACCAAUGUUUUCACCUUAUCAUCAAAAGUUAUCUACAUCGAUGUCGAUUACGCAAUAAUUAUAUUAAAUUCACUAGUAUGAUGAGUAACCGAGUUACCUUAACCCAUUUUUAGGUUGACUAAAUUACGAAUCAAAUACACUUUAUUGGAUGUAGAUUAAUUCUCAUACAUAUUUGAUAAUGCCUACAUCAAAUCUAUAGUUGUUUUGUCGUUCAUGAUGUUGAACGCAACAUGUUGGCAUAAAGCUAAAGAGAAGAAGUUUUGAUGAUGUAUCAAAGUCAAGUCUCAAAGUGCUCUUGUCUCAAGAAGACCUUCAUGAAUACUUGUUUUGUGUUAAAGCUUUUGUAAGUUAGUAGAUUUAUGUAUAUGAUGUGAUUUAUCUUUGAUUCUAUAUAUUGUUUGCCUUAGCUUGCGUUAAAAUUUGUUUUAAAUAAAAAAACUUUAUUUUAUACUGAAGAUAAUAUAUUAUCAACUUAUAAUAAUUGAUUAUAAGUAAUCGAUUAUGACUAGCCAUAAUCGCUUAUCACGAGUAAUUAUGAGAAUUUUUAAACAAGUAUUUUACUAUUGUGCAUACAUUAAAUGCAUAAUUGAUUACCAUAAGUGGAUAAUCGAUUAUCACACGUUAAUUAGAUGACUACGAAUUUUUCGAGGAAUCCAUAAGUGAGAUCUCUAUAAAUUGGAUUGAGACUCUCAUUCUAAAAUACGAAAUACUUUGUAUUUAAAAUGGGGGUUGCUCCCUCCACCUCCUCUGUUUGCUUCUUCCACUUCCUCCUUCCUCUUUUACUCUUUCCUCUAUUUUUUUAUUCCUAUUAUAUCCUUUUCGUAAAAUUUAUUUUUGAAGUUAAAAUUUUCCAGGAUAAGCGACCACAACCCCGUGAAACCUCUCUCUAAACGAAUAUGAGGAUCCGUCAACGGAUGUCAACAUUCAUUUAAGAUAAAAACGAAUGUCGAAACCCGUUUUACCUUAAACGGAUGUUAAGGUCGGUAGACAGAUCCUCAUAUCCGUUUAAGGGAGGAAUGAACGUUACUCCCUUCACACCAUUGAAUCAUCACGCCAUCAUCAAACGAUCCAAGAGCAGAAGCACAGCGUCACUGCCAUCAUCACGCGCCUUCAUCAUCUUCAUCACAAAUUUGACGCGCAUCUCCUUCGCGCACGAUCACCACCCUCACAGAAUCACCACGACCACCUAACUGAAACAAAUUCAGGAACCCUAAUUUCAAAUCUCAAAUUGCAAUAACAAUUUGCAAUCACAGAAACACUAAAUUACAACCACCAAUCUGCAAAGAAAACAGAUGAAUCAAACCCCAGAAAUCCCCAAUUCAAUUUUAGAAAACCCAAUUUCGACAAAACCCCAAGGUUGACAUUUUGAAUGACAAUGUUGCUUCCCCAACAAUGAAACCUCAGAACCAGAAGAAAUUUUUGGGAAAGAAGAAGAGUUCUUGCAAUGCCCCAAAUCGAAACCUUCACUCACAAGUUCGGUUGCCGCGAAACCACCUGAUAACAAAGGCCACCACACCGCAAACGCAAUCACGCUCUUCUCCUCCACGACGUUGUCAUCAAACAAGGCUUCUCGCAUCACGAAGACGUUGAAUAUGGACCCAUGGCUUCUGGUCCAGACUAGCGGUUGUAUCUAGUUGGGGAUGAAAACGAGUACAGAGUUGGUGGGGGGCUAAUAUCCAAGCUUAGAGACCCUGUAGUGAAGGCAAUGACGACAACCAAGGAAUUUGAUGCUCUUGAUGAGAUUGAGGAAGAGGAAGAUGUUGAACGAGAACGGCUGAAGGAUGAGAGAAAGCAGCGUGAAGAAAUUGAAAAGCUUGAAAAGAGUGGCACCUAGUAAUAGGCUUUCUAGAUGUUUUUCUUCUGAUUUAUUUUCUAUAUGAUUGCAGGAGUUGAUGUUAUUUACAACACAUUUUGUUUUGUAUCAGUUCGAGUUUUCCCUAUAUUUAGAAUCCCUUGUAUAAAAAAUGGCCAAAUUUAUCUGAACCAAAGUUGAGAAAAUAAAGCUGACAAGGAUCAACGUGCACUGGAAUGGACUCAGCAUCUCUCAGUUUUGAUGUUGCAUUGUCUCAAAUGUAUAACCCUUGCCCACGAUAUGGUUACUAUCCUGGUAAAUAACUUAAAUAAAAAAGUGUAAAAAAAUAAAAAGGUUAAAAAAGUAAAAGAAAAAAAAUGAUAUUUUUGUAAUAAAAUAAAAAAAGUUGAAACUUGGGGAGGUGGAGGGUGGAAAAGGGGAGGUGGAGGGAGCAACACCCAUUUAAAAUUCUUAUUUAUUGUGUGAUGUGAUAAGUAUUCUAGGGAUUAUGUAACCUUUGUGCAUUGGCUUUGAGAACUUGGUGUUCUAUCCUUAAACUGUGUUAUUUUCUUUGUGAUGGUAACAAUUUGUUGGUUUGUGAUAGUGAAGCGUUAAUUCUCGUUUGAGAUUAACAACUAGAUGUAGGAUUUAUGUGAUCUGAACCAAUAUAAAAAUCACCUAUGCAAUUUUCUCUCUUCUUUACUCUUUUAUUUGUUUAAAUUGUUAUUAAGGAAUUUAUAUUUUACGAGAAAAUUAUUAAAGGUAUUAUUUGCGAUAAGAAACAAAUUCACCUUCUUCUUGGUUUGUUGUACACGCUAACCAUUCCGUUGCACCUCGGAUCACACCGAGUGUCUACCCAUCUAACAAAUCCCAAUAUGACUCUCCAUGUCGUCUGACUUUUGUCUUGUUAAGGAUAGAUACAACUUCUUCUGAUAUAGGUAGUCCUCUAUCUGUAUCUUCCGAAACCUGAAGUCACUGUCAUCGAACUUCUCAAUCUUCACAUUCCUUUCUUUCAAUGUCAUUGCUCUCGUUGCUUUUGAAGAAAGUUCCCACUACUUUUCUAAACUAAGAUUCCUAAGAAAAAAAAAAAACAAAUCUUUUCUUAUGUGAAAUAUCAGAUAAAGAUGCAACCAAAGAGUAUACUAAGAAAUUGUUCCUUGAUACCAGUUAAUAGGAAGAAGACAAUAAAAAAGAGAAAAAUAAACGACACAAGAAUUUAACAUGGUUCAACAUACAAUGUGUUUUGUCCAUUACUACAUUAGGAAGUAUUUGUGUUUCAGUGUGUAUUUUAAGCUUUGCAGUUGCUUAAUAUGGUAAAAUGAAAAACAAGCUCACAAUACUAAAUGAUGUAAGAUUAAAUUAAGCUCCACAAUACUAACAUUUUCACUACAAAAUAUCAAUGUUUUAAUAAAAGUUGGUGUUCUAUGACAACAACUAAAACUAAGAGAAUCGUCUCUCAAUUGAAAACGAAUUUCAUAUAUAACUAACAAAAGAUGUUUACAUUUUUCUUUAAGAAAAGUAUAUAAAUAGACUUCAAAAAAAACCCUUAAAAUAUUUCAAAUCCCAAAUUUAUAGUCGUAUUAAGAUAAAAUAAAAGAAAAAUUGUAUACAAAAUUGAAAAAUUAUUAUCAUUAUGAUUUUCUAAAAUAAAAAUUAUACAAACAAUGUGAAGGCUUUUUAGUUCAGCUCUCAUUUUCCAUUUUGUUUAUAUUAGUUAUUUUGGAUGUUAUAUUUAUAUUAGUUAUUAAAUCUAUGUAAGUACUUACUAAUAUAGAAAAAUGAUGAGUUUUCAAGAUCAAUUAAAGUUGUGAUCUUACAUCAUACAGAGAAAUGAAAAUAUAUAAGUGGUUAUAAACUUUAAUUUACAAACUCAUAUUUUUAAAAAAAUAAUUGAGUUAAACUUAUAGUUUAUCUUCAUAAAUUCUUUUCUGAGUCAUUUAGGAGUUUAUCAUCACCGGUAAUUAAACUUAUCAUAUUAUUUGUGUGAAUAAAAUAAAAUUAAAGUAAUUUUUUGACCAUCAAUAAAAAUAUCGUUAAUGAAUCUAUUAAUUUUCAAAGCUAAAAAAUAAUCGUUCACAACAUCAAUAAUAGAGCAAAUCAUUCUCCAAAAUACACUAAUUAAUCCAAACCAUUGCUUCCUUAAUGAACAAGCCAACGAAUAAAUCAACAUGCCUAAAGUCAAUGAACAAACGAUGUGCCUAAGGGUGUGUUCACUUCAACCUGAGUAUAUAUUCUAUCACUAAGUAAUGCAAAACAUGGUAAUAUCUAAUAAAACAGUUCAUUAGAGACUUUUAAAACCGUUCCCAAAUCAUUGCAUAAUCAAUAAGAAAUCGUUAAUGUUGAUUUAAACUUAUAAAUAUUAUAAAUAGGGAUCUUUCUUCAAAAACAUAUCACAUAGAAAAGGACUAGACCUCAAUUUGUUGAGGCUAAAAACUAAUUAAUAUUUUUUAAAAUAAACGUGUACAAUACUAACUUAAAAGCCAAUAUUGAUUUGUUUUUUCAUUUGACUUAAAUAUAAUUUUGCUGUCUCUAUUUAACUUAAUUCGUAAGAUAAAUAAAUAGAUCUUCAUAUUGUUUUAAAAUCUUAUAAUUUUAUCGUAUCUUUUAAUUUUACGUAUAUUUUACAUUUUAAUUAACUAUAUUAUUUAUAAUAAUACCGGAAAUGAACACUUAACCCAUAGUCCUAUUAAGAUAAAAUAAAGGAAAUAAAAUUUGCAAAAUUGAAAAAUUGGUUAACAUUAUAAUUUUCUAAAAUAAAAAUUAUGCAAACAUUAGGGAGGAUAUUUACUUAACUGUUUUUUCUAAUUUUAUUUUAUAUUAGCGGUUUUGGGAUAUUUUUAUUUCAUAUUAGUCACUAAAUCUCAAGUUAUUUAAACAACAACCCAUUGAUGAUACAAUAUUGGUGUGGAGCAAAAGUUCUAUAUAAACCUCUAACUCUAUGUUCACUUGCCACAAAAAUUCAUAAUGGAUGAUCAUUUGAUCUCAUUCUUACCCUUUUUUCUAUAUUCAUUGAGUUUCAUCCUUUUUGUUUCACAGUUUCUUAAAGUGAGAAACAGAUCAAAAAACUCAGUGAAAAGAUUGAAGCUUCCCCCAGGGCCAUGGAAGCUUCCUAUCAUUGGAAGCUUACACCACUUAGUUGGCUCUCUACUACAUCAUCGGUUGAGAGAACUUGCUAAAAAACAUGGUCCUCUCAUGCACCUACAACUUGGUGAGUCAUCAACCGUUGUGGUUUCUUCUACAGAAGUGGCCAAAUAUGUCCUGAAAACCUAUGAUGCCAUCUUUGCUCAAAGACCCCAUCGAAUUGUCACACAAACCAUGUGUUAUGAUUCUACUGACAUUGUCACUGCACCAUAUGGGGGUUACUGGAAGCAGCAAAGAAGAAUAUGCUCACAAGAGCUUCUUAGCAACACACGUGUGAGGUCAUUUCGAUCAAUAAGAGAAGCAGAAAUGCUGAAUUUAGUAAGAUAUAUUGAGUCCAAAACUGGUUCUUUUGUGAACCUCACUGAGAAAGUGACAUGCAUGACAAGUGCCAUCAUUGCAAGGGCAGCUUUUGGUGAAAAAUGCAAGGAUCAAGAAGAGUUCAUUUCCCUUAUCAAGAAAAUUGUAGAAAGGGCCGAACGUCUAUUUAUUUCUGAUUUGUUCCCUUCUCAAAAAUGGCUUUAUGUUAUUAGUGGGGAGAAAACUAUGGUAGAGAAAGUCCACAGAAAAUAUGAUGUAAUAAUUGAAAAAAUCAUUACAGAGGCAGAAAAAUGUAUUGGUGAAGUAGAGGUUAAUACUCUCCUCUCAGUUCUUCUAAAUUUGAAAAAUCAAGGUGCCCUCGAAUAUCCUUUGACAACCGAUAACAUCAAGGCUGUAAUGUUGGUGAGUGUGUGCAUUACUUUCAGUUAUUAUUUGCUUAUGUUACUGCAUAUUAUAGAAUUUAAGACCAACCUUCAUUUCAUGUUAAUAUAAAAUUAAAUAAACAAAAGCACAAAAAAUUUCAUCUAGCGUUAUAAUAUUGUGAAUAUAACUACACAGACCCAUAUAAAUAUGUCUUCUUACGAGUUGCCUUUUUAUGGGAAAGUUUUGUAAUAAAUUUUAAUUGAUUUUCCUGUUGUAGAACAUUUUUGCUGCUGGAACUGAUACAUCAUCUGCAGUCAUAGUACGGGCCAUGUCAGAGAUGUCGGAAAAUCCAAAAGUAAUGAACAAAGCUCGGGAAGAAGUUAGAAGAGUUUUUGGAAGCAAAGGAUACAUGAAUGAAGAAUCACUUGAAGAACUAAAAUAUCUGAAAGCAGUGAUCAAAGAAACACUAAGAUUGCACGCUCCCAACCCUCUGCUAGUUCCAAGGGAAUGUAGAGAAACUUGUGAGGUGAAAGGGUAUACAAUACCUGCUGGGACCAAAGUGAUAGUAAAUGCAUGGUCAAUUGGAAGAGACCCUGAUUAUUGGAAUGAUCCAGAUAAGUUUUAUCCAGAGAGAUUCAUGAACAGUGAAAUCGAUUAUAAAGGGUCCCAUCAUGAAUUCAUACCCUUUGGUGCUGGAAGGAGAAUGUGUCCUGGCAUGUCUUUUGGGAUAAAUAUCAUUGAACUUUGUCUUGCACAACUGCUUUACUAUUUUAAUUGGGAACUUCCAAAUGGAAACAAGGAAAACUUGAAAAAGACUAAAGCUUUGGGAGCCAUCUCAAGAAGAGAAGGAGAUCUAGUCUUAGUUCCCAUUUCUUACAAUCCUCUUCCUAUUUCAUCAAACCUUAAAUUCUAAUCAUUAUUAAAUGGAAAAUAAAAUUUUAACACCAUUUUUUGACAUUAUUUUGACACUGUACACGUGUCAAAAUAUGGUUGGACGAUUUCAAAUUAAAAAACAACCUUUGGUUUUUUUCUUCCAAACAUACCCUUAUCUCAACUUUUUUAAUUUGAAAUCGUCCAAUCACAUUUUGACACGUGUGCAGUGUCAAAAUAGUGUCAAAAAAUGGUGUCAAAAUAUCAUUUUCCUUAUUAAAUUGUUUACAUGUCAUAUUUCCCCGUUGUCCUUGUUCCCUUUCUUUUAUGUUACAUGUGUGUUAUGAUAUUGUGAGUGAAUGAAAAUAAGAUGUGAAGUUUAUCUUCUUCAUGAAACAUUCAUUUUAUUAAACGCUUGUUUUCCCUAUUUGCUUUUUGUAUAUUUAAGAUGGUUUCUUAUUUAUUAUUUAUUGGAACAUACUACUGAGGUACAACAUGUAAAGUUGUAUUUCACAUUUAAAUGAAAUUCGUUUCAAUUUGUACAAAAUGUUUUCAUUAUCUAAUGGUAAAUAAACAUAGACAAAAUUAUUGAUGUUAAAAUGGAUUAAAUUUAAGAAAAGUUGUAUAAGAAGUUUAACAUAGCUACCACCUUAUUUGUUCAUUAUUCAUUACUCUCUAGUAGAGUUAUCAAUUGGACUUAUGACUCAUGGAUUAAUCCUAACUCACGUUUGAAAAAGUCCACUCUUAGAAGGUUCUCUCAAGUGGGACCAAAACAAAACCACAAUCCCUAAGUUCCUCUCAAACUCGUUAGGGUCAAAGUUAAGGCAGACUUGAUCCUACUACAAUAUUUUAAUUAAUUCUUAGAAAUAAUAUCAUUCAUUCACACAUAUUAUAUAUUUUAUUAAAUAUUUUAAUAUGUAGAAAUAAUAUGAUUUAUUUAUACACAUUAUAUAUUUUAUUAGAUAGUCUAAUAUAUAGUAAUUUUAUUAUAUUUAAAUUAAUAUUUUUAUAUCAUACUUAUUAUUAUUUUAUUAAACAAAAUAUAUAAUUUAUAUUUUAAUAUAGUUAAUUAUCAUAAUCUAUUUAUUAAUUUUAUCAAUUUCUUAAAAAAUAAAACUUUAUAAUAUUAAGUCCAGUGAAGAACAUGGAAUCUAGUAUAAAUGUGAGAAAAUUGAAUUAAUUUUAAUAAAUUCACCCUAUUUUUUAUAAUAUAUAUAUAUAUAUAUAUUUAUUUAUUGAUUAUUAAAAAAAUAAAUAUUUGGUAGAAUUUAAAUAUAAAUUUAAGUCAUAUAAAAAAAAGAAACAACAUAGAAUAAAAAGUUGUAUAAACUAAUUAUUCAUAAAUUUAUUAUUUUAAACUUUCAAAUUGAUAUGUUUUAUUUAGUUUUGAUUUAGAUCUAGAUUAUUUUUUCAAACAACAAAAUAUCUUAUAUACUUUAAAAAUAAGUAUAGUUAGUAAAAGAAAAUUAAAUAUAUUUAGUCACUCAAGGAUUUUAAUGUCCUAUGUUGUUUUGUAAUUUUUCUAUAUAAGAAGUAACCAAAUUUAUUGACAUCUCUUACAAAGUCUAUGUUAGUUUGAUUAAAAUGUUUGUAUAUAAUUCUUUGACAAACUAAAAGUACUUAGAUUUGCAAAAAAUUAAGAGUUAAUUGCAUUUUUUCUUAUAUUCAAAAUGAAUAUUUCUUAUGAAAAGAAGGUUUGUGGACUAGUCCUGACACACAGGUUUCAAUUGGGAUUUUUUGAUCGUAUGAGUUUUUCUAGCCAUAAUCCAUAUAUCAGUUAGGAUCAAAUCAUGUGAAUGGGUCAAAUUGAUAGAUGUGCUCCUAAAACAGUGAGCUUAUUCAACUACUUUGUGUUCAUACAAAUUAUUGUUGUUAAAACCUUAGAACAAAUUAAAUUUAGGAAAGUAUGUACAAAAAGUUCAACAUAGUUACCCCUUAUUUUUUUCAUUCUUCCCCAAUUCUUUUUUAUGUGUGGUUUGAUAGGAUUUUAGCAAAACAAUGGGCCUAUUCAACCACUUUGUGUUCAUAUAUUAAUAAUGUGAUGACCAUUGUGGUAGAUAAGAAAUACAUCCAAAUGGUAAUACUGUACUUUAAAAAAAACACUUAUUGUUCGUAUAGUUGUAUAAAUAAUUCCUAUUUCUAGUUUGCAUUUUUGGUAUUCAACAGUUCUAUUUGAACUUAUACUCUUAGAGUAAUGUCUUCGGAGGAGAGAAAAUAUUGAAGAAUAGAAGAACAAAUAUGGAAAAUUUAUAUUAAUAUAGGUUUAAAUCCUUUUUUGAUCUCUAAGUUAUAAGUUGGUGUUCAGUUUAGUCCUAGCUUUUAAAAAUGUAAACCUUUGGUCCUUAAGUUAUAAAAAAUGUAUCAAAUCAGUUCCAAUCCGGUUGGGACUGAUUUUUUGGUGGAUGUAUGGGUGAUCUGAAAUAUUUGCAUGCUUACAUGAUACAAAGUUGUCCUUACAUGCUUUUAAACACAUACUUCUCAGUAGUUUAGGGACUGAUUUGAUAAAAAAUUUAUAACUUAGGGACCAAAUGUUUACAUUUUUAAAAAUGGAGACUAAACUGAACACCAACUUAUAACUUAAGGAUCAAAAAAGAAUUUAAACCAUUAAUAUAUAAUUUUAGUAUAUCUAAAUAAAAAACUAUCUCUUGAACAUAAGUAAAUUGUGUUAUAAUAAUUGUAAUGUUAUAUAUUUUUAACAAAGAAUAAUGGAUAAUCAACAAAAUAGAACUAAAUUGUUUACUUCCAAUAAACAGGGUGAUUUUUAUAAAAUUGAUUUGAUGACUUAUUAGCUCAUAAGCUAUCUUGUCUUAUGAUAGUAAAAGAGGAUCAUUGGUUUUGGCACAUAAUGUGUAGAUAUGCUAGUUUUAGAUUAUUUUCAAAGAUGCAUAUAAUUAAUUUAAAGUUUUCAACACUGAAAAACUUCAAAUUAUUAUUGCGAUGAAGUAGCUAGUCACACUAUAAUCAAUUUUUGUCCAAAAAUCUACGAAUAUUAUUUACUAUUCAUUUGUUAGAAAGAUUAAAAUUUAAUCAUACAAAUUGGUAACAAUUUUUUUAGGCAUAACUUUAGUGCUGUUGUUAUUAAUUGGUAUUUUAUAUUGACCGUUGGUCUAGUUUCAAAGUUUAUAUUAGUAUUUCAUAUGAAACUUGAUAAAGUUAAAUGAAGAACGGCACAAGCUAGUCUUAAAAAAAGCAUCUUAAAGAGACAAAAAGAAAAUAGGAAAACAAGCCUUAAAUAAAAGACUUAAUACCAAUUUUGAUCCCUCGAAAGAGGAGUUUUAUUCAAAAUCGUCUUACCUUUUUUAAAAAGUAACAAUUGGUCUCACUUUUUUAAAAAAUUGUCCAAGUUAAUCCUUUUCGCUAACGGCGUAAAAAAUUUAACGUUAGAAUUGCCCACUGGACUAAUGACGUGUCAGUUUUAAUUGAUUGCGUGGCAGUCUCAGCUUUAUUGACGUGUAAAAGUAAAAUUAAAAUGUUCAUAUUGACAUGUACUGCUGUGAGAGAGAGAGGUUAAAAAAAAUGAGAUUAGGGUUAGAAGCAAAAUCGCGAUUAAACUUUCUGGUGCAAGCUUCUUAAAUUGAGGUGUGGUUCAAGGUGAAAAACAAACAACGAAUUGAAAAGAGUAACAGAGGUUAGUAUAUUAUGUUGUUAUAUUUUGUGAAUUUCUGUUAUUGUUUGUUUAUGAUAAUUGUCGCAUUUUGGGGUUUUAAGUAUGGGUUAAAGUGUUUUAUGGGAAAAGUUGUCGCAUUUUGAGGGUUUAUAGUGGUCCCAUAGAUCGUAGUAUAACUUAAUGUAGUGGUCCUCGUUUGCAUUUGCAGGGUUAGGGUUGGGAUGUCUGAUGAGAGGUUUCAGGUAGUGGUCCACCACGGUGGGACCUUGAUAAAAGACAUGCCAUUUAAGUAUAUAGGUGGGGAGAUAGCUUAUUGGGAUGUUGACCCUGAUAAAUGGUGUUAUUUUGGAAUAAUAGGUUCACUUAAACAUCUGGGUUACAUUCAAGUAGAAGAGUUAUAUUACAAUGUUCAACAUGUAUUACACAAGUUGUAUGAUGAUAAAGGAGAUAUGAACAUGAUGAAGGUGGCUAAUUAUUUGGGGAAAGUAAACCUGUAUGUUAUACAUAAGGUGGACAAUCCAGAGGUAGUAGGAGAUGAUGUCAAUGAUAUGCUUUACUUAUGUGAAGGACCUGCAGACAGUGGUGAGGGUAGUGGGGUUAGGGACCAAGAAGUCGAACAAGUUAAGGCUGUUAAGGAUGAAUUGGAUGUUGAGAAUGAGGGUGGAGUUGAGGUUCAUACUGACGGUGCAGUGGAGGUUGAGAAUGAGGGUGUUGAGGCUUGAGUUGAGGUUGAGAAUGAAGAAGUGGAAGUUGAUAGUGACAUUGGAGUUGAGGUUCAUACUGACGGUGCAGUGGAGGUUGAGAAUGAGGGUGGAAUGAAGGUUGAGAAUGGGGGUGUUGAGGCUCCAAUUGAGGUUGAGAAUGAGGUGUUGAGGCUCUAGUUGAGAUUGAGAAUGAGGGUGGAGUUGAGGUUCAUACUAAGGGUGCAGUGGAGGUUAAGAAUGAGGGUGUGAGGCUCUAGUUGAGGUUGACAGUGAGGGUGCAGUAAAGGUUGAGAAUAAGUGUGUUGAGGGUCGAGUUAAGGUUGAAAAUGAAGAAGUGGAAGUUAACAGUGACGUUGGAGUUGAGGUUCACAGUGAAGAAGUUGAUAGUGAAGAAGAAGUGGAAGUGGACAAUGAGCAUAAACCAGGAAUGAAUGAUUUGAGUUGUGAUGAAUACUUGGAUGAAGACAAUGAUCAUGAAGACAGUGUUGAUGAAGCACAAGAACAAGUAAGGGGUUUGUCAGAUGGUGAAUGGGAGUUUGAUGUGCUCUUAAUGCCACAAAACAGUGGAAGUGAGGAGGGUGAAAUUGAUGAUAAAGUAUAUGUUGGUCCCUUUUCAAAGUAUGCACAAUAGAAGUCAAUGACAAAUUAUAAGUGGGAAGUGGGAGCCAUAUUUAACGAUAAGGAUGAGUUUAAGGAUGCCAUUAGAAGGUAUGUUGUUCAAGCUGAGAGGGCUCUAAAAUUUGUGAAAAAUGAUAAUCGUAGGGUGAGGGUCAGAUGCAUGGAUGGCUAAUGUAAGUGCCCAUGGGUAGCUUACUGUGGGUAUUUGCCAUCACACAAACUUUGGCAAUUGAGGAAGAUAAUUGAUACCCAUACUUGUAAUAGGAAACUUAACAUUAAACUAAUGAAUGCUAAGUGGUUGAGUUAGGAACUAGAUAAGUCUUUAGUUGACAAUCCUAAUUUAAAGGUGAAAUACAUACACAGUAAAACAUUAAGGAAAUGGAAUACGAAUGUGACAAUUUCCAAGGCAUGAAGGGAAAAGUUAAUUGCAUCAAGACAACUUGAAGGAGAUUUCAAGGAACAGUUUAAAAGGAUCUAUGACUAUGGACAUGAGUUGUUGAGGUGUAACCCAGGGUCAACAAUGAAGGUUAAAGUUGACGUGGUUAAUGGUGACCCAAUCUUCAAAAGAAUAUAUGUUUGUCCCAAAGCUCAUAAAGACAGUUUCAUGGCCGAUUGUAUGUUUAGAUGGAUGUUUUUUGAAAGGUCAGUACAAGGGGGAGGUGCUUACUGUUGUUGGUAGGGACCCAAAUGAGCAAAUGCUACCCCUUGCCUAUGCAGUUGUAGAAGUGGAAAACAAAGACAAUUGGAGCUGGUUUUUGCAAUUAUUAAUUAAAGACCUCGGGGGAAAUGAAGUCUGUGGGAGGUACACGUGGAUGUCUGACCAGCAAAAGGUAAAUGUGAUCCUUACAUUACUAUAUAAUUUAUGCUUUGUUACAUGUAACCCUUUCAAUAAUUAUUUCAUGUGAGUAGGGAUUAGUGCCAGCUAUCCAGGAGCUUUUUCCUGGGAUAGAACAAAUACUUCUCCUAAGGCACCCUAUGCCAAUUUUAGGAAAAGGUUUGGUGGUCAAAUAUUAAAGAAUUUGAUGUGGAGGGCUACCACAUGCACAUAUCCCCAGGCUUGGGAGAGAGAAACACUGAAAAUUAAAGAAGUCAAUGUUGAAGCAUACAAAUACCUCAUAGGCAUUCCCCCAAAGUAACCCAUUGCCCAUUGCAUGCACAUUUCAGUCACUCAUGCAUGGUAACCUAUUUUGGAAAUUUUUGUGUAACAGAUUUUUGUCAAGAUCUCACUUCACAGGUCAAGCAAUGUGUGAUACCCUAGAUAACAACAUCGGUGAAGCUUUCAACAUUGUUCUUUUUAAUGCUAGAGGAAAACAAUUAUCACCAUGCUGGAGGAAAUCAGAAUUUAUCUCAUGAAACGAUGGGCCACUAACAAAAGCAAGGUGACAUAUAUGGAUUUCACAAUAUGCCCAAAGAUAAAAAAAGCGAAAUCGAAAGGAAUCAACUUUAUCAAGAUUUCGGGUCCAAGGUAAUAGUCUCAAUUAUGUUCAUAUAAAUUUAUGUUCAUAUGAAAUUGUUGACGAGAUUAAUUUAUUCCAACUGGUCUGCGAGAAAGAUUUUUGAGGUUAGUCACACUUCAUCCAUUAGCAACAAGUUCACAAUGGACCUAAACACUAAAGACUGUAACUGCAGAAAAUGGAUGAUAAGUGUCAUCCUAUGUUGUCAUACAAUUGCAGCAAUUAACUACUCCAAUUUAGACCCAAAAGAUUUUAUACCUGCUUGCUUUAGAAUAUCCACAUAUGAAGAGGCGUUUCUAUAAGUUUUCCAGUCAAUGGCCACUUGCUAUGGGAAAGAACAACGUACCCUGAUGUACUACCACCAGUUAAGAGGAAAUUGCCAAUGAGGCCAAAGAAACAAAAAAGGAGGUUGAAGCCAUGGGAGCUAACUAAGGAUGACACCCAAAUGCAUGUUGGUGGACAUAGAAAAAAAUGUAGCAUAUGCCGUCAGAGGGGCCACAACAAAAAUAAUUGCCCUUUACGUCCCCAACCAGCAGAAACAACAAACCAAACAACACAAACUCAACCAUCAUAGCCACCUCCAAGUAGCUAAUCUCUUGUACCAUCACAGGCACCACCAGGUAGCCAAUCUCGUGCAGCAUCACAGGCACCACCUUGUACCCAAUCUCCUGCAACAUCAUAGGUGAUGAGUCGAUAUUUUAUUGAUUUCACUUAGUUAUUGUGCUAAAAUUAAUCAGGGAAUUGUGCUUAAUUGUCUAGUAUUUUCCGGUUUUUCCUAAUUAUGCUUAAUUUGACCGGAAAUUCUAAUUUUAAUUAAUUUGAAUUUUCUGAGCUAAUUAUUUGCAUUAUUAUUUUCAGGGAAAAUUUUGGAAACACAAGUUGGGACAUUCGGAGGAGACAAAAUAAAUUGAAGACUCUCCAAAUAGACAUUUUAAAUUUAGUUAUAUUGUAAUUUAAUUGUUUAAACUUUUUGGACAAACUUUUGCACAUUGAGCCAUUGUUAAAAAUUUAUGUUGGGCCCAAAGUUGUAGGACACUUAUCACCCUAGGAUUUUAGGGUGGACCCCACCCAUUUUAAGACACACAACCCUAGAGAGGGAACUUUUUUUUUUGGAGCCGUCACAUUUCAUUCUGCAGGGACAGCUGCUAGAACGUUUGACAACAUUUGAUUUUUUUUCCUUUGAGCAAUGUUAAUGCUAAUGGACUUUGGUUGAAUGAAGUAUUUAUUUUCAUUGAAUGAAAAAUAGGCCAGCUGCCACUUUGAUUUUGCUUUCAUUUUGAUUCAGUACUUUUGCAUUUGGUAUUUUUAUUUUCUUCAUUUGAUUCCAAGCACGUUGAUUUACAUCCUGCAUCCUUGCAUAGAGAUAGCAAAGUUCACGUCAAUUCCAGCUGCUGCCGCAUCCAGUUUUUGGAGAACAACGUUUUAGACCAAUUUAUUUGGUUUUAAAAGUGGUUGCUGAUUCAUGGAGAAGAGACACGGUACAUUUAAUUUGCUUCCAGCGUGAUUUCUUUUUGGAGGUGCAGCGCGGUUUCUUUUUAUUAAGCUUUACUCAUUUAUUUUUUAUUAAGCUUUUUGUCCCAUGUCUCUGUUUACAUUUAAAUGGUUAGCUCUACAUUGCAUUAUUGCAUUUUUAAAUUGGUUCACCAAAAGGAAUUGGAAAUUAUUAAUAUAGGAAAUUCAUUCAGCAUUCACGGCCUUUUAAGUUGAUUUUUACUUUUAAUGCAAUUUCUUCUUUUAAUGCUCAUCAUCACGGUAGUUAGUUUUAGUUGCUUUUAGCUUCAUGCAUCUUUAGCAUUUCUUUCUUUUCUUUUUCUUUUUUUUUAUUCUAAGUUGCAAUUUCCAUUUAAAUUAUAAUUUAGCAAUUUCAUUUCAAGUUUUGUUGAACUCAAUUGGUUCACAUGUUUUCUUUGGCAUUUCAAUUUUAUUUCCCUUACAAUGAUGUAUUUUCUGAUUAAUUAAUUUCCUUUUAAUUGAGUCACAUAAGUUUUCCUUAAUUUAUUUGUGAUGUUAGCUUAGGUUAGUCGGGUUGGUCGUUAAUAAGAUUACUUUGUUUCAAUGAGAUUCUUGUACUUUAAUUGCCAAAUUGCUGCUCUGAUUUAACUCAAUAUUUAAUCUGUUGUGUGCUUGCGAUUAGGUAUACGCUUAGUUGCUUAAUCGGUGUUUAAUCUUCGCUUAAUUGAUUGGACUGCAUGAUGCAUGACUGAUUGGAUUUGAGCAUUGCAUUCGCUUAGUUUGCGAUUUUGAAGACCGAAUUAGCCUUCACUUAGUUGGGUGAUUCGUGUCGGAUUUGGAUUAGAGUAGUUUAUACCUGUCAUUAAUCUAUGAUUGGAAGCAUAGUAAUUGAGUUAAUGACCAACCGUUUUUUUUUUAUUCUAUAUUUGAUUCUGCUUUUAAAUUUCCAUUUCUACAUUUCUGUUUUCAUUUCUAAUUGCAUAUGUGUUUUAAUUUAAUUCAUCUACAUUCACAACCCUUUCACAACCCCCCCCCCCCNNNNNNNNCCCCCCCACGUCAUGUUAGACCUAAUUCUCGAACCACAAAAUUGGUCCUUGAGAGACGACCUAGGAGUCAUUUCCUAGCUAUACUGCAUUUCUCAUAUGCAAUCAAAUUUGUAUGGGGUGCGACCUCCACCAAUAGGCACUACCAAGUCCCCAAUCACCCAAUCCACCAACAUUGAGAAAAAACUUACAUUUUAGAAGAAAACCUACUUAGAUAGUCAUGUAAUAUGGUGCAACAAUUUUAAUUAAGUAUUUUGGUUAUGUAUUGUGAUAAUGAUCUUUUUUUGUUGACUUUGAUGGUCAUGUAAUGUGGUGUAACAACUUUAUUUAAGUAUUUUGCUAAUGUACUUUCAUCUCCUUUAAUUAAUAUUUAUGUCCUUUAAUUACAGAAAACACUUUCAUACAUUAACCUGUGUCAAUGUUAUGUAACCAACCAUGUCAUCAUCAUAUACAAUAAGGACUAUUGUGAAUAAUUUUAAACCAAAUGAGGGACUUAUUCAAACAUAAAACAUUGACUUAAAGUCAAUAAAAUUGACAAUGGUCAAUGUUAAAUAAUACACUGCAGGACUGAACCAAGACACCUAAAUGUAUCCAUUGACAUACACAUUGCCAACCUACUUAGAAUAAGCAUUACAUGAUGCAUUACAUCAACGUCAACAGAACAUACAAAAACACAUCCACUUUUUCCACCUAACAACAUCAACCUAAAAACACUCACUUUGUCUACCUAACAACAUCAACCUAAACAGAACCUUAAAAUCACAAGGUUCAAUGCAAUAGAAAGAAACAAAGCUAUAACUAAAAAUGUUAUCCUUUUCUACAAACCCUUCACUAAAUUUUCCAGAUCAUUAAUCCUCCUCCUUUGCCUCGCAAUUGUAUAAUUUUUUUCAUCAACAUCUUCUUCAGAACACUAUUUGAAAAAGUUACACGAGCUCCGCUUAAACAGCCAGCCUGUUAUUCACCAAGUGAGGAAAUCUAUCAAAAAAUGCAUAAAGUGAAGGGAACAUAAACUGAAAAAGGUAUACUUAAAACCUUGUAAUGAGGACAACCCCAAAAACUUCUACCACCAUUUUUGAUAGUUCUCGCGACUUGGGUUACAGUAAUAUCACCACCAUAACAAAUAGGAAUCAACCCACGUCCCCUCCAACCACCACCAUGGGACGAAUGUGGAGAUCCUUUGCUCCAUCUAUUCGAACAAGAUGAACACCCUUGGGAAGAAGCCAUCCCUAUCUCCUAACAAAUCCUAACCCCUCUUUUUAACUUCUGUAAAAAAAAAAAAAAAAAAACUCACCUAAUCUAUUUUUUCUUACACUUUUAACCUCAUUGCCACGAAACUGUCACGCAAUCACUUAACAUUGACAGCUCAUUAAGUUUAGUUAAGGGGGCAACUGCAACGUUAAAUUUUUUACGGUGUAAAUAAGGUAGGACGAUUUUGAACAAAACCCCUCCUUCGAAAGACCAAAAUAGGUAUGAAGCCUAAAUAAAAUAAGUGUUUUUUUAAAAUAGAUAAACUUCACAUCUUAUUUUCAUUCACUCACAAUAUCUUAACACACAAGUUACAUAAAAGAAAGGGAACAAAGACAACGGUGAAACGUGAUAUAUAAACACUUUAAUGAUUAGAAUUUAAGGUUUGAUGAAAUAGGAAGAGGAUUGUAAGAAAUGGGAACUACGACUAAAUCCGUUUUUCUUCUCGAGAAGGUUCCCAAAGCUUCAGUCAUUUCCAAGUUUUCCUUGUUUCCAUAUGGAAGUUCCCAAUUAAAAUAGUAAAGUAGUUGUGCAAGACAAAGUUCAAUUAUAUUUAUCCCAAAAGACAUGCCAGGACACAUUCUCCUUCCAGCACCAAAGGGCAUGAAUUCAUGAUGGGACCCUUUAUAAUCGAUUUCACUGUUCAUGAAUCUCUCAGGAUAAAACUUCUCUGGAUCAUUCCAAUAAUCAGGGUCUCUUGCGAUGGCCCAUGCAUUUACUAUCACUCUAGUCCCAGCAGGUAUUGUAUACCCUUUCACCUCACAAGUUUCUCUACAUUCCCUUGGAAGAAGAAGAGAGAUAGGAGGGUGUAAUCUUAGUGUUUCUUUGAUCACUGCUUUCAAAUAUUUUAGUUCUUCAAGUGAUUCUUCAUUCAUGUAUCCUUUGCUACCAAAAACUCUUCUAACUUCUUCCCGAGCUUUGUUCAUUACUUUUGGGUUUUCCAACAUCUCUGACAUGGCCCAUUCUAUAAUUGCAGAUGAUGUAUCAGUUCCAGGAGCAAACAGGGUCUACACUAGGAAAAUCAAUUCAAAUUUAUUAGCUUUGGAAUUUAUACUCGCAUGCAUAUGUUACAAAAUUUUCCCAUAAAAAGGGAACUCCUAAGAAGAAAUAUUUAUAGAGUUACGCGAGUGUGUGUGUAUAGUUCUUUUCAAAAUAUUAUAAGACUGGAUAGAAUUUUUUGUGCCUUUGAUUAUUUAAUUUUAUAUUGACAUGAAAUGAAGGUUGGUCUUAAAUCCUAUAAUAUGCAGUAACAUAAGCAAAUAAUUACUAAAAGUAAUGCACACACUCACCAACAUCACAGCCUUGAUGUUAUCGAUUGUCAAAGGAUAUUCGAGGCCACCUUGAUUUUUGAAAUUUAGAAUAACUGAGAGGAGAGUAUUAUUAACCUCUACUUCACCAAUAUUUUUUUCUGCCUCUGUAAUGAUGUUUCCAAUUAUUACAUCAUAUUUUCUGUGCAACUUCUCCAAUAUAGGUUUCUGCCCACUGAUCACAUGAAGCCAUUUGUAAGAAGGGAACAAAUCAAAAAUAGCUAAACGUUCGGCCAUUUGCACAAGUUUCUUGACAAGGGAAAUGAACUCUUCUUGAUCCUUGCAUUCUUCACCAAAAGCUGCCCUUGCAGUGAUGGCAUUUGUCAGGCAUGAGACUUUCUCACUGAGGUUCACACAAGUACCAGUGUUGGUCUCAAUAUAUCUUACUAAAUUCAGCACUUCUUCUUCUCUUAUUGAUCGAAAUGACCUCACACGUAUGUUGCUUAGAAGCUCUUGUGAGCAUAUUCUUCUUAGCUGCUUCCAAUACCCCCCAUAUGGUGCAGUGGCAAUGUCAGUGGAGCCAUAACACAUGAUGUCUGCGCCAAUUUGAUGGGGUCUAUGAGCAAAGUUGGCAUCAUAGGUUUUCAGGACAUCUUUCGCCACUUCUGGAGAAGAAACCACGACGGCUGAUGCCUCACCAAUUUGUAGGUGCAUGAGAGGACCAUGUCUUUUAGCAAGUUCUCUCAUGCGAUGAUGUGGUAGAGAACCAACUAAGUGGUGUAAGCUUCCAAUGACAGGUAGCUUCCAUGGCCCUGGGGGAAGCUUCAAUCUUUUCACUGAGGUUUUGGAUCUGUUUCUCACUUUAAGAAACUGUGAAACAAAAAGGAUGAAACUCAAUGAAUAUAGAAAAAAGGGUAAGAAUGAGAUCAUGUUAUAAUCCAUUAUGAAUUUCUAUGGCAAAUGAACAAAGAGUAAGGUUUAUAUAGAACUUUUGCUCCACACCAUAGCUUCAUCAAUGGGUUGUUGUUUAAGAUAUUAAAAAUAAAUACUUUUGCUUCUUAUUGGUUUCAUUCAUAAUUUUGUUUUCCUAUUUAAAAAUAUCAUCACAACUUCCUUUCUAAGUCCUUUUGUAAGUGAUAUGUUUUUGAAGAAAAAGAUCCUCAUUUAUAAUAUUUAUAAGUUUAAAUCAACAUUAACGAUUUGUUAUAUUAUACAAUGAUUUGGGAUAUAAUUUUAUAUUAAUUUACACGUUCGGUACCUCUAAAAAUCUGUAAUGAACUUUCAUUAUAAGCCCAGAUCCUAAAUUAUGGGUAUGCCAACCCAUGAACUAUAUUAUAUUACCACAUUUUGCAUUACUUAGUGAUAGAAUAUAUACUUAGGGUGAAGUCAACAUAAUAGGCACAUGGUUUAUUAUAAAAUAAUAUCAGUACGUAAUUUAAAAUACAAUUCUUAUUUUCAGUAAACGUGAUUUAUAAAUUAAAAAUGCAAAAUAAUCACAUUUUUUCUUCACUCAUACUUUUUUUCUCUCCUGUACAAUCUUAGCAGAUUUUAUUUUUUUAGUUUUCUCCAACUUUGUUUUUCUGGUUUUUCCCACCUUCGUUUUAAGGGGUUGUUUUUCCUUAAAAACUUACAGCACAAGUACAAAAAUGGGAGAGAACGGGGGCGAAAAGGAACCGAGACGAGAUCACAAAGAGAAAGAAAGAGAUUGCACACGAUAGAAAUAUUAUAAAUGUAAAUAUAGAAAGGAAAAUGAGGAAAUCAAGGUUCAAAUACAAUGGGUGUGUUUUGAAAAAAUAAACUUCACAUUUUAUUUCCAUUCAAUAAUGGAACAAUGAUAAUGGUAAAACAUAUGAUGAGAGGAGAUCGUUUAAACUUUGAAGUUUAAUAAGAUAUCGUCUAAACGAAAUAAGCAUUUAAUUGUUUAGGAAUAACCUUAGAAGAAGCAUUUAAUGCUAUAUCUAAAAUAAAGUCUUAAACAACGUUAAAAUAGGAAGACAUAUAAUGAAUAUUUUCUAGAUGUAUUUCGUACCAUCACAGUUGUCCUAUCAGGACGUAAUGUAACUUUUGACUCUACCGUGAAAAGUAUAUUUUAGAAAAUAGUCAAAAGUUGAGUAAUAAAAAAAAAAAGUAUUUAGCGGAGAUUAUUUUGGGAAAGUUAUAAAAACUCUAUGUAAAUUAGCAUGAUUUAAAAUGGUUAUGAUGAAUUGUCGAAAACCUGAUAGUAGUGGAGGUUUUAAUUUUUUUUUUAAGAACUUCAUAAUUUACACAAAUUAUAAUACAUUUUUAUUUUUAUUUUUUCGUUUUUCAAUCCUUUCCUUCUAAAAUUUUAUCCCUUUAAAUUUUCUCCAAAUUCCAAAACCUAAACCUAUCUUCAUCAAACCUAAAUGUGACUUUCUAUUGUUACAACAAUCUGUAUCACGCAUAAAAAAGGUUUUGGAGAUAGUGUGUUAUGGACAAAAGCCAAGAGGAAAGGGGUGAAUUGGUUCUUCUAAAAAUCGUGAUUUUCUUUUAGAACUUUUAACAAACAGUUGGCAGCUUAAAAGUGUUGAGAUAUAGAAAAUCACACAAAACGUUUUAUCCUGGUUCAAAUUAAAAGAUUCUACGUCCAGUCGUUAAUCACUAUAAACAGUGAUUAACCUUUUUCACUAAAAUGUAGUUAUACAAGUUACAAUCGAAUAAGCAAAUAUUAAAGAAUAGAAAACAUCUUCCUUCGACAAACGAAUGGAAGAACUUCAACUCAAUCAACUUUAAAGAGAACUGAUUCGACCAUAGACACACUAAGCACAAACUUCUCCUAUUCACAAGACUUGAUUGAGCACACUAACACUUGAGAACUUCCUCAGACUCUUUCUGUAUUCUCAAAUGGCUUAGUUAAACCUCUAAGAGGCUUAGUAGAAAGUAUAUAUAGCCUAAAGGUCAAAAACUAGAAAGUCAACUCCUAACUACCAGUGAUAAUCGAUUAUCACAAGUAAUAAUCGAAUAUUUGUGUCCGUUAUGGGGUUUUCAAAAAGUGAUAAUCGAUUAUCCUGAGGAAUAAUUGAUUAUUUGUGCAACUUGGACAAUACUGAAUCAGAUAGAGAUAAUCGAUUAUUGUGAACAAUAAUUGAUUAUCUGCAUGGGCAUGUCUUUUCCAAAUAAGCUCGUGAUAAUCGAUUACUACACCAGAUAGUCGAUUAUCUACAUCAACAAAUAUAUUCUUAUACAAUUAAUUCUACAAAAUGCUAUUAAAGUAAAUACAACAAGAAUAUUCAAGUCUUCAUCUUGUAACAUCAUCAAAACUAUAAUAUCUUUAAGAUGUAAAUGCUCCUCAUUGGUAACAAUCUCCCCCUUUUUAAUGAUGAUCAAAAAGCUCUUGCUUAAAAGCAUCUUUAAUUUCCUGCACAGAUUUCAGACAUACUAACAUGUUAGUACUAACUGAACUAACUUCGAUGUUUUCUCCCCGUUUUUUAUCAUAAGCAAAAAGUAAAUAAUAAAGUCUCCUCUUAAAUUGUUGCUCCCUUCAACAAAAGAAUAGAGGCAUUUCAAGACAGAAUAAAAUUUAAAUGUUCAUAGCAUGAAGGAACAAAGUACAUAAUGGAAUAUAAGAAAAACAUAAAUUCAACUCUAAUUAAGAAAUACAAGGAAGAAUUUAAAAAGGAGGGGUUGGAGGAUAACUAGGAGGUUGAAGGUUUAAGCGCUUCUCAAUGUUGCCCAGUCGAGUAUCAAAGUCUUCAAACCUAUCACAGACAUAAUCGUGAUGAGUUUGCUGCAUUUCAAUGAUUUCAUCAAAUCUUGCUUGAUGAGCCAAACUAAUAUAUUCCAUUUGUUUCGAGACAUUUGCAAAAUACACUUCCAUGGAAAAGGAUGAUGAUGAGGGAAUGGCAAAGGGUCCAACUGCAGAUGGAGCAGCUUCUCUUACAGGUUUAGCCAUUUGAGCAUCCAUGUCAUCAUCUUCUUCAUCUUGCUUUUCUUCAUCCUUAUGAAGAAAAAUGUUUCCACGAGCAACAAAACCCAUUUGGCGUAGGGUUGUUUCUCCAAUUCCUGUGCCAAUAGAUUGAAUGGCUUGAGUAUGCCUACCUUCAACAUUCACUCCUUUAAAUUUAAGAAUGAGAGAAAUAAGGAGAGAAUAUAGGAGAUGAUAUAGGUAGAGAAUUUUUAGGCCUUGAGCAUGGUAUCAGUAAUCAAGGCAGGCCAAUCAAUAUGAACAAGGUUUAAAAUACCAUAGAGAAAGAGAAGAUCUUGCUCAGAGCAUUGAGCAUGAUUUAUGGCACAAAGGCACAUGAUCCAAACAAUCAGGUAAUGGAUCAUCCACUCCUCCACUAUGAAGCCACCCAUUAAAAAUUGGUGUCGAUUGGAUUGUUGUUGGGGAUUCCUCAAAAAAGACUGAUAGGCGAGCAGGCGAUUGAAUUCUAGAACACCGAGAUGAACUUUCACUUCAUCAUCCCAUAUGGUGAGUAUGGCGUCAUUUGUCCAGAUUUCGUCAUCAAGAAUUAUUCGAACUCCUUUGACUUUAGUGGUCACAAUGCCAUCACAAUAACGGAGUUUGUGGUAGAAUACCCAAAUGAGAUCGAGAUAAAUACAUGCCUUUUGCUUAACCAAAUUUGUUAGACCUUGGGUUUCAAAUAAAUUGGGAAAUUGAAACCAUAAAAUCUAUAUUAAUCUAACCAUACAUACUUGACCCCCAUGAUGCGUCGCUCUUGCAAAAGUGAGCAAACUUAGCUUGUUUCUCCAGAUCGGAGAUCCAUCCUUCAAGAGUGGCAGGAUGGGGAGUUUGAGGACGAGAGGAAGAUGCACCGCCAAUACAUCUUCGUGUGGGCAUCUUGCGCCUUCCAUCAACCAUGAAGAUCAAAUAGAGUGUAGAAGGGAAAUAUGAGUAAAAGAGACUGAAAACAUUGUGUAAUUUUGAUUUUGGCAUAAUUUCAGUGCAAUGAGGUCAGUAAUCGAUUAUAAAUGAGUAUUUAUAAAGGAAAGUGAGAAACUAGUUGUUUAUGGCCGUUUAUAGUUGUUUUGUAACGUUGGAACGACUAUAUUUUUUUGAAUCUGAAUCGACUGAUAAUCGAUUAUCACUAACGAUAAUCGAUUAUCUUGUCAAAAAUAUCUUCCUGAACGGUGUUGAUAAUCAAUUAUUAAUGAAGAUAAUUGAUUAUUUGCGAAUCAAAUGAUGUUUCUAAAAGCCAAAGAUAAUCAAUUAUAUCCUUCUGAUAAUCGAUUAUUCACUUUGAUUUACGAAAAACUUAAGGUUUUCAUGAAUUUUAAUCCUUAAGACAUAUAUAACACUUUGCAGAGAGUGCUUCUAUCAAUAGACUACCCGUAUUCACAGGUGAAAAUUAUGCAUUCUAGAAGGUUAGAAUGCAAAAAUUUAUUAAGUCUAUUGAUUGUGAUAUUUGGGAAGUUAUUGCGUUUGGUCCGUCUAUUCCUACUGACAAUAUGCAGGAACCAAAGCCUCGUAUUUAGUGCACUGUUGAAGAGAAGAAAAGAUUUCAAAAUGAUGUGAAAGCCCGAAACAUCAUUUCAUCUAAUUUAACCAUUGACGAGUUUUACAGGAUCCCCGUUUGUAAAACUACUCAAGAGAUGUGGGAAGUGCUAAGAGUAACCCACGAAGGUACAAAUGAUGUAAAGAGAGCAAGAAAUAAUACCUUGAUCCAGGAAUACAAAAUGUUCAGGAUGAAGCAAGGAGAAACAAUAUCAGACCUUCAGAAACGCUUCACCAACAUCGUUAAUCAUCUCAUUGGACUAGGUAAGUCUUUCGAAAAAUGAUGAACUUAAUAUCAAAAUUUUGAAAUCUUUAGACAGGUGGUGGCAUCCAAAAGUGAUUGCAAUUUCUGAGUCACAAAAACUAAACACAAUGACUAUGGCGGUAUUAUUCAGAAAGUUGAGAGAGCAUGAACUUGACCUUGGAAGACUAGAUGAAGAAGAAGCAAAAGUAAAAACUAAGAAAAAGACUCUAGCCUUAAAACCUGAGGUAGAAAGGAGCAAAAGCAAAAUAGAAGAUGAUAACUCAGAAGAUGAAGAAAAUUUGAGACUCAUGAUAAAAAGGCUCAACAAGUUCGUGAAUUCAAAAGACAAAGGAAGAUUUAAAUUCGAAAAGAAAGAAAAUCAAGGAUCUUCCUCAAACUAUAAAUGUUAUGGUUGCGGAGAAAAUGGACACGUAAAAGCUGACUGCCCAAAUCAAAGGAAGAGUUGCCCAAAUCAAAAGAAGAGUGAAGAAACAAAAGAAAAGAAGUCCUUCAAGAAUAAAGAAAGCCUACAUCGCAUGGGACGAUGACAACAAAACAAUUUCUGACAUGAGUAAUUCUGAUGAAGAAGCAAACAUCUGUUUAGUGGCGGAUGACGACGCUGGAAGCAAAGUAAGUAUGUCUAACGAUUUUGAUAAUUAUAGUCAAUUUAGUGAAAAUGAAUUCCGUGAAACUUAUGAUGCUGUAAUAAUAGAAUCAGAAAAAAUUAGAUAAAGCUCAUAAGAAAUUGAAAACGGAUUUCAAAUAAUUAAAAUUGAAUUUUGAAAAUAUUCUUGAAGAAAAUAAAAAUUUAAGUUUAAAUUUUGAAAAUAUUUCUAAAGAAGAUAAAAAUUUAAAAUCAGAUUUUGAAAAUAUUUUUGAAGAAAAUAAAAAUGUGAAAAAUAAAAUUUUAUUUUAUGCAAAGGGUAAAUUUACUAGUAGUGAAGAAUGUGUUUCUUGUGAAAAUUUUAAGAAACUACUAGACCAAAUGACCUUAGGAGAAUGUAGUAAAAAUAAUGAAAAUAUGUUCCUAAAAUUAAAAAUAAACAUAAUAAUAGAACCCGUAGAACUUGGGUGGAAAUAGGAACAACUUAGAGGAACAUAAAUAUUGUAUCAUGCUUUUAUUGUAUGAAAAAGGGUAAUACUUCAAAAAAAUGUAAAAUUAAGCAUUAUGGUGUUCCAAGUGGUAGAUAUGUUUGAGUUGUAAAAUGAUUUCAAUUUUUUCAAACCCAAAGGACCCAUACAAAGUAGUUGGGUACCUAAUGUUUAACAUUUUUUUAAAAUAUUCUAAUUAGUGGAAAACAUUUGAAAUAGAGAAAUUGUGCAUGUUGUCUUUGAUAAAAUUGUAGACCUUGAGGCUGAUAACUUUUUGGCAAGUAUACCAAAUCAUUACAAGUAAGACAAUGAAUAAGUAAAGUAUCAUUCUCCUAAUGAAAUUUGAGUCACGUUAUUCAAUUAGAAUUACUUAUCAGAAUCAAUUAUUGAUGAUAACAUUUUGAUUUCAAUUUGGUAAAAUUGCAUAGAAUCAACUAACAUAAAAAUUUAAGAUUGAAAAAUAUUAUAAAAGAUCAUUGGAAUUGGUCUUUGACUAACAUUACAGUAAUAUCCUGGACAAAAUAUGUUCUCUGUUCAAGCAUUCACAUAAUGGUAUCUUGAUUUAAUUCCUUAAAACAAGUUCUGAAAUUAUCUAUUAAACUAUUAAUUCCUUAAUUAAUUCAACAGAUAAUUUUGCAUUAAUUUUAGAUGUUGAGAAUGACCAAAAGCACAUAAGUUAUUCCUAACGUAGUUACUUUUAGUUUCUUUUCUUAUGUUUCUGGUUCUAAAAAUACUUCCCAGUACAAAAGAACGUUCAAAGAGAAUUAUAGUUUCCUAUAAUCAAAAUCAAGAGUCAAGAAAAGAACAAGAACAUCAACAUAUAUGGCACAGGAAAUUUACAUUAAUGUAUCGUCAUACAACCAAUUCCAAUUAACAGAAAAAAUAGGCUUUUGCUAGACAUCUAAAAUGUACUUUUUACAGUAAUUCCUUGCAGAAAGUGAAGUCAUAAUGUCUUGAAAAGUCUCCUGAUCGUCUCUUGAAGUUCUCCAAAGCUUUUCGUGUUUUUCGUGUCAGAAGAUCGUUUCUGCCUUUCUGUCACGUCUUUUUAAGCCAUUUAACUUCAUUAAUUUGCUCAGCGCACAAGUGUAUGUGUGUUGUGUGAAUGUUUCUACACUAGUACAAAAACAACCUAUUACGCGUUUAUUUUUGGCCUUUAACGACGCAUUUGCUAGAGAUGUUAUAAACACUAAUCACUCAGCUUUAUAAUUAAAACACACUUUAACAUUACCAAAUUACAAAUUUACAAUACAGCAACUUGUAUAGAGAGAUCAACCAAGUUUCAUCAACAUGCAUAUUACAAUUACAUUAAAAACACAUAUAACAAAUAUCAUCCCCAUUAACAUCUUCAACCACUUUUCCAACACAACAACACUUUUUUUCUAAACAAGUUAUUUUCAUCUUUUCAUUAUCAGCUUUUUCCAUCUUCGUCACACUUGGUUCCAUCAUCAUCAAACUUCCACAUGCUUGUUCAUUUCUUCCACUUCUACUCCUUUCUUCUCCAUACAACACAUUUCCUUCUUCUAUUGCUUCUUCACUGCACUAGUGAAAGAAGUUGCAGCCAACGAAAUCUUUGCCCCUACCCUGUUGAACGAAUAUAGGCAUACUCCCUCUUCAAAACCGAAAAAAAAUAAACAAAGAUUUAUGCUUAUAUUAAACUGACCUUGAAGUUAGGGCAACCCCAUAAUUUUUUGCCCUUGUUUUUAGGGGUUCUCGUAAUGCGUAAAACUGCAAUGUGACCACAUAAGCAAGUGGGUUUUACACCCAACCUCCUAACAAUGUCAUUACUGUGUUGGAAGUCUGAACCCAAAUACCUGGAAGACGAAGACGAACGAGACAUUUCCUACACUACAUAGUGCUUCGAAAACCCUUCCUCCCCAAGACGAACACAAACAUAAAACACUCGCUACCAACAAUAUUAUUAUUCCUUGUGGAUCAAAUUUAAUUUAAUGCACAAUGCCAACCGAGGGUUUAUUAAACCAAACAAAAACAUAAGAAAAGCAAAAUAACACCAAAUAUAGAAAAAAUAUGAAAAUAUAACCACGAAAAGUAUAUACUAAAAUUUCAAACAGAGUUGAAACAUAGAAAAAAAAUACUAAAAUAUAUUAAAAUAUUUCAUUAAUUUAAGAAAAAUGAACUAAAAUGGAUUCUUCUUCCUAAUCUGAGUCAGAUCAUAGACUCAUCUUCUGUUGUGUCGUCUUCAUCAUCAGAUUUACUCGUUGUAGUUUCAACUAAACUGUCUUCAACUAAUUUGUUGUGAAUCACGAUCAAAGAAUUUUCAGCAUUUGAAAUUCUUGUUGAAAGCCUUCGAAAUUGAUCCGCAACAAAUCUUUCAAACUUAGUGUGUGGAGUGAAGGUAGGAGGAGUUACGUCAACAUCCUUGAACACCUAGCCAUCUUUUGUUUUCUUUAGACCAUUAAAGGUCAAUGACGCUUUUCCUAUUUCAUUUGAUUUGGUGCAUCCAUUUUUUUUUCACCAGUAAGAUCAACUUGAUGAUGCUUCAAUACACUACUGAUAAAAACACCAUAUGGCAGAUUAUGUCCAUGCCUACUUACAAUUUCAAUCAUGUGCUCACUCACAAUAGCAACCCAGUCGGUUGGUAUCCGUGUUUUUAUGGCAUGAACGAAAAAUAAAUCUUCAGUAGUUAGACGAUCACGUAUAUAUCUUCCAGGUAGUAUUACCCAAGUAAUUACAAAAGCACACAACUUUUCUUCCAUUUUUAAACCAUCAAGUAGAUACGGCUUGUAUACCUUCAGUCCUUUUGGAUUUCUCAGAAAUUCCUUAUAAAUCUUCUUCUUGUUGGUCCAUUGGUUGAGUUCAGAAUUUCUUUCAUGAGACCUGAAGCCUUGUGCUUUGAGACCAGCAAAAGAUAGCCAUAUUUCAUCAUCAAUUUUAAUAUCGACACCUUUCACCACAGAGCAUAUAACACCAUCGACAACCUUCAGAUUGUGGUAGAACACUUCUACAAGGUGAGGAUAGCAAUCAUCGGUCAUUUCUACAAAUUUUGCAAGACCAACAUCUACAAGCCAAUCUUGAAAAAGAAACCUUUCCUUUCUGAAUAAUUCCAGAUCCAUGUACUUGUGAUGGACCACCUGGAAGAGUUUUCUAUAACAUCCAAAUUUGUAUCGUGUUUUAUCAUCACUUAUCCACCCAUUUGGACUAGCAUUUCUUACAACCUGUGCAGCCUUCUUUCCACGCCAGGAAGAUGAAGAAGCCAUUUGAGAAUAGGAUCUAGAGGUAUACGAAAAGGUUACAGUUUCAAUAAAAGUUCAGAAGUAUAUUUAUUCAGUUUCAAUAUAACUUCAACAUAAAAUGUCCUAUAUCAUUACAACUCCACGUUCUAUAGUUGAAAUACUUGGAAGUUUAAAUCAAAAUGUCGAAGCCCCAUAAAACUCGACAUUCAUUGAUGGUAAAUAUUUAAACUAAUGCGCCAUUCUUUUAUUUUUUUUCCUUUUAAAACAAAAAUAGUAUAUCCAUAUCUAAAGCAAUGCACGUAUUAUUGUGAGCCAGAAGCCAAAGAGUUACUCCCUUCUUAAUUCUUUUUACUUUUUUCUUUUAAACCACCAAGAUUACGUUGAAUUUUUCGGGGAUUGACAUAUUAUUUUUCUGCUAGAAGCCAAAGAGUUUCUCCCUUUUUAAUUCCUUUUUCUUUUUAAUCAAACAAUAAAUGAAGAAUUACUCCAUUUUUAAUCCAAUAGUAAACGAAGAGUAGCCGAAGAGUUUCUUCCCUUUUUAACUCCUUUUUCUUUUCAAUCAAACAAUAAAUGAAGAAUUACUCCAUUUUUAAUCCAAAAGUAAACGAAGAGUAGCCGAAGAGUUUCUUCUCUUUUUAAUUCCUUUUUCUUUUCAAUCAAACAAUACAUGAAGAAUUACUCCAUUUUUAAUCCAACAGUAAACGAAGAGUUGUAAUACUUGGACGUUUCAAUUUAAAAAGCACCAAUAAUACGUUGUAAUACUUAGACAUUUUAGAAGUAAAAGGCUACGAGUCUGCUCAUUUCAUUGUAAUGGAAGAAUCAGUUCAAAGAGAUAACAAAAGACAAUGCACAGAAGAUGACAAUUCUACAAUUUUUCCAAUCAAAUCACUUCCCACAGACUUAUUGCUUAAUGUGGUUGCAAAGGUAAGUUCUUAAUCUUGGAUUGAUCAUUACAACAUCAAAGUAUGUUGUAGAGACUUUUUGCAUGCCACAUAAGACAAUUAUAUGUGGCAGCAAAUUUCUUUAGAAAAGUUUUCGUUGAUUUCAUGGUCAUGUAAAGAAGCAAGGGCAUUUGAUAUUUUCAUGCAAAGUUGUAAAGAGGGUGGAAACAUUGAAGCUUUGUAUAGAGAGGGAUUAAGAGAAAUAGCUAGAUAUAAGGGAAAUAUUGAAAAAGGCAUUAAUGACUUGAAAAUCGCUGCCAAAAAGGGUUAUCUUGAAGCAAAAUAUGUAUAUGGUUUGAUCUUUUUAUGUUCAUACGAUAGUGAUUUAAGAAAAGCAGGGGUUGACUAUAUGCAAUUUUUGAGAAAUGUCAACUGUGUUGUAAGGUGUAGAAAUAAGUUAGUAACUUUGUUGAGUAAUGUAUGGAGAAAACCUCAUGGAACACUGUUGAACAAUCCAACUCCUUUAUGUUCCCAGAGACAAUGCAAUGGUUGGAGAAUGAAGAAGUCUAUUUCUUGGGAAAUAGUGGAUACUGAAGAUGAUGAUGAUGAUAUUAAAAACUCGUGCGAAAAUUGUAGGUGGGAUGUUGAGUUAGAAUUUUUUUAUAAUCUUUUAUUCUAUUAGUAAUGAAAUUCUAUUGUAGGUGGGAUGUUUUGUAUUAAUCAUCUCUUGAAUAUUAAUGAAAUUCUCUUUUGGAAAACAUUAGUGAAUGGUGAUCGAAUUGUUUAAAAUGAUUAAAUCACUUUUAUGAUUGCAAUUGUCCAUUUUAAUUUUACAUCAUUACAUUGCAUGCAGCAGUAUAUCAUAUAUGUUACUGUUAAACACCAAUAUUACGUCGAAAGAUAAAGUUAAUCGACAUAAUAUUAAGAUAUGAACGUCGAACAAAGGGAAGUCGACGUAUUAUUUAAUAUUACGGCAAAAGUCUCUCCUUUUUUUACUUUUAUCUUUUUUUCUUUUUCCUUUUUAACCUGAAAUAACAUGUCGAUUUUGAAAAUAUUCAACAUCCUCUAUUAAUUCCUAGAAGGAGUUUAUGAAUUUUAUGAUUUCAAGUUGGAGCUUUUUGAAAGGCUUUGGAGUUGUUACAAGAAAUUUUAUAAAUUGAUGUCUACUUAUUAAUUACUGUUGGGAAAGGGCUGAUAUGGGCUUCAAUAAUAAAAGGCAGUCUACUUAAAUGCUAUGGGAAAAUGCAGUCUCCAGACUUCUCAAGUGUCUUUUUGGUUUAAUUCUUUUUUAUUUAAAUCCAACAAUAAACGUCCAAUUUCUUUAGCAUAUGACAUAUUAUUCGUUAUCCGAAGGCAAAGGUCGAUCUUUUUUUUUCUUUUUCCUUUUUAAAUUCCCAUAGAACGUCUAACUCUAGGGGCUUCAACGUGAAAGGCAUGUGAGCAUUAAUUUUGUGUUGUUACCACAAUGGUUGUGAGCAUUAAUAUUGACUCUAUAAAUAUAAUGCUUAACUCAUACAACUCCACGCUCACUUCAUCUUCUUCGUCCUCGCCUUUUUUCUACGUGGCAUUGCAUUUCCAUGUGCGUUUCAUCUCUUUUGAAUCGUUUAAACUUACUUUUACUCCGAUUAAAUUAGUCUUUGAUGGAUUAUCUUCCAUUUGAACCGAUUAAAAUGAGUUUUCGUUGUGUUUUGGUGUAGUUUUGCUCGUGUCUUUUGGUAGCGUAUUAGUACCUUCCCCCUUUAGUAGUUUCCUAGUAAGAAAAGCUUGCGUCUUUUGGUCUCUUAUGGUAUUUCAACCAAAACCGAAUGCAUAGGCGAAUUCAAUGUUAUAAAGUUUUUUUGAAAGGAAAAGAAAAAUUAAUAAAAAAGAAACUAAAUAAUAAAACGUCGUAGACAGUAUAAAAUGACGUUAUAUGGGUUGAUUUGAAAGAAAAGUAAAAGAAUAACUACUAGCUGAAGGAGAUAAUAGAAAACAUAAAGAAUAAAAAAUUAAAAGAUGGAGUUCAUAGGAGAAAUUUUAUGAAUGGAUGUCUACUUAAAAUAAUUACUGUUGACGUCGAUGCUAGUUUCAAUUGACGUUUUAUUGGUUGAUUUAAAAGAAAAAUAAAAGAAUAACUACAAGCUGUAAUAUACAAUGUUCAUCUUUUGUUAUUAUGACGUCAUAUUAUUUAAAACAGAAUUUUGUAUUUAUUUAUUUUGUAUUGAAUGUCAAUUGUUUCCUUAACUGAAGUUAAUUAUGUGAUUACCUAGGUUUCGUACACUAAGGCCCAUCACGUCAGACCCCAAAUUGUUCGAUGUUCUACAUUGGAAAAAACGUCGAAACCAUAAAGUGGGCAAUGUUCUGUCUGGUUUAAAAGAGAAAAGAAAUAAAAAAAUAAAAAGCGGAUUCACUCUCUGUCACAUAAAACGUCGAAUAUUUAGCAUGGUGGACGUCAAAUGUGGGUAGAGUGAUACUACUGGAAGCAAAACCACUAUUUCGUUAUUUUUUUAUUUUAAAUUGAACGUAAGUUGUUUCUCAAAAUGAUGUUAAGUGUUUCUAAGGUCAUUGCUUUACGUCGUUUUAGCCCUUGUUUGAUGUUACCACAAUUUAGAUUACGUCUUUAUGAUCUUUGCUUGUCGUUAAUAAAUAUUGUUCGGCGAACAGUUUCAACAGAGGACGUGGAGCGAUUGAAUUUAUUUACGGUAAUGCCACCGGUCAUUUUUAACAUUGCGAAAUGGGCGGUACCGCGUGACGUUAUAGCCCAUUUUUCACCAGUGCUAACUACUACUUCUUUAACUGGUGUUAUUCGCUCAACGCACAGGUGAUGGUGCGUUGUGAGAAUUUCUUCAUGCUAGCUCUAUGAAUUUUGGCUUGCACUUAGCGAGAAUUGGCUGAUACAGUCCAAAUAAUACACUCUUUCCUUUUACAUAACAUUCUACUUCCUAUUACAACUUUCAUUGAGUAAUAACAUAUCCAGAUGUAUUACCCCCAAAGAAAAGGGCAAUGCCAGGAAGGCCCAAGAAAAAAUGAAGACUACAGCCUUGGGAGUUGAAGAAGAAUGACAGGGAAUUAAGAAAGGUUGGGAGCAAAAAAACAUGUGUUGUCUGCAAAGAAAUGGGACACAACAAAAGAUCUUGUCCACAACGACCUAUGCCUCCUGACCAACCUACUCAACAAACAGAAGUGCCUCCUCACCAACCUAGUCAACAAACAUAAGUCACAAUACCUUCAACACAUGUCCCUGCUGACCAACCAACUCAGGAGUCUACUGUGUUUCCUUCUCAUCAAUGAAGUCUUAUUUACUUCCAUUUUGAAGACAAUGUUUUAAAUAUCACGUAAUAUGUAUUGAUGAAGGAACAAUGUUUUAAAUAUCAUGUAAUCUUUUAGUGUAAUUUGAUUAGGUUGUUAUCAGGUUUUUAUGCAUUGAGUAAGACAAUGUAAUUUGCAUUGGUGUUAUAAGAUAUAAUAAGACAAAGUUAUCAGGUUUUGUCAUUGUAAGACAAUGUUUGUUUUGUUAUAAGAUAUUAUAAGACAGUUUAUUGACCAUUACGUAUUGAUGUGCUGAUCAUUCUUGUAUGUUGGUUAUUGACCAUUACGUUUGAUGUUACUUGUGCACUUUCUUUAACUUAUUUUGUAUUAGCAAAGGAAAUAUAACAAAUAAGACAAAUAAGACAACAGUAUUAAACACUGACAAGUCACCUUUAUAAAUAAAACAGACAUUAAUCAACCUUCCACUAACAAUAAUCAACCUUCCACUAAAUAAUCAACCUAGUUUCAUCAACAUUAAUAUCACAGUUACAUUACAAACACAUAUAAUAACCACCAUCCCCGUUAAAAACUUCAACCACUUUUCCAGACUAACAACAGUUUUCUGUAAACAUGCUAUUUUCAGCUUUUCAGCAUCUUUCUUUCUCUUCCAUCUUCAUCAAACUUCCACCCACUUCUUUAUUUCUUCCACUUUCUUCUACACUGACUACAUUUCCUUCAUGAAUUACAUCAUCACUACACACUGAAAGAAGUUGCAUCCAGAAGAACAAUCUUCACUCUAACCCUAUCUAAGAAGAAAACACAUUCCGUGAACGCAAUCUUUACUCCCACCCUCUGGAACAAGAAAAAAACCACAUUAAAAGUCAGAUUAUUGCAUCCAUUAAACUUACCUUGAACUUGAGGCAUCCCCAAAAUCUUUUGCCCUUCUUUUUAGGGGUUCUUGCAAUGCGGAAGACUGCAUUCUAACCACAAAAGCAAGUGGGUUUUACACCCAGCCUGCUUACACUGCCACAACUCUAUUGAAACCCCGAACCCAAGCAUUUGCAAGAAGAAGAUGAAGCAGACAUUUGAUGAGCUCAAGUAUAAACACUGCUUCCACGACUCUGCUUCCAGCACUCUUCCUCCCCAACACGAACAAGUAUAAACUUUCGUGCAAUUGCUCAGGGUUGAUUUAAAUAUUAGGGCUUGGGGCUACCAACAUAAAAAAUUUAGUUGUCCACGUGGAAUGUUUCAUUAUACAAAAGAACACCCAUUCAACUUAAUACAUAUUGCCACGCAUAUAAAAAUAUUUACAGCUCACCUUGUGUAGACGGCGUCAGCCGAAAGUUAACGGAGAAGGCUUUAUUGUCUCAAAUUAAAAAAUAUUUUGAUUCAAUUGGGACAAAAAAAACGAGGAUCUAAUUGAGAUUCAGGCACAAAUAUAAAGACCAAAAGACAUAUUUAACCUAUAUUUUAAUUAACUUUAUAAUUUUAAUGAUAACAGAAAUGAAUACUUAACUUUACAGUCGUAUGAAGAUAAAAUAAACGAAAGAAAACAUGCAAAAUUAAAAAAUUAAUUUACAUUAUGAUUUUCUAAAAUAAAAAUUAUACAACAUUGUGAAGGGUUUUUGUUCAGCUCUCGCUUUCCAUUUUAUUUAUAAAGUUGUGUUUUCACUAUAAACUUUAAUUUACAAACAUUCUUUUUUAAAUUAAUUCUGUUAAACUUACGUUUAUCUUCAUAAUUUCUUAUUUUAGUCAUUUAGGAGAUUAUCAUAUCACCUUAUCGUAUCUGUUAAACUUAUAUUAUUUGUGUGAAUCAAAUAAAAAUAAAAUUUUUAAAAGCUAAAAUUUUCAUAUCUGAACAUAUUACAAAAGGUAAUAUAUGAUAUAUAUUUUUUUAAUUCUCUCAAAAUAGGUUGUAAUACAUGAGUCAAUUCCUAAGUUGAGUUGAAUUAUUUUUUAAUUGAUACAAACUAAUUUUGAAUUCCAACCCACCUAAUUUUUUUAACAAAUAUUUUUUAUUCAGUUAAUCAUUUUAUAAAAUAUUGAAAUAGAGACUCGUGAAAUUAUCUUUAUGGAAUAAUUAGAUAAUAUGAAAAAUUUACAAAUCUAUAUUUAGUAAAUAAAUUUUUAUGUAGAAACAAAUUAGAAUCCCUGUGAAGCCAUUAAAAAUUUGGGUUAAAUAUGUUUUUGGUCCCUUUAACUUUUAGUGAAAAUAGAAUUAGUCCCUCUUUGAAAAUUUGGACUAAUUUAGUCCCUUAUCUUUAAAACUGCAUGAAUUUAGUCUCUUUAACCAAAUUUUGUUAAGUUUAUUUGAGGUUUCAGAUGCAUUUCUCAGUUAACAUUGAAGAAAAAAUGUGUUAAACAGUGUAAACAACUCAAAUGCUAUCAUGAAAUAGGUUUGAAAUGUCAAAUAAACUUAAUAAAAUUUGGUUAAAAGGACUAAAUCCACAUAUUUCUAAAGUUGAGGGACUAAAUUGGGCCAAAGUUUCGAAGAGGGGCUAAUUCAAAUUUUCAUUGAAAAUUAAGAGACCAAAAACAUAUUUAACCCUAAAAAUUUUGUUGAGGACCAUUCCCCUUUAUUUAUAUCUAAAUUAAAAAAAAUUGUUAUUUUUUUAGAAUUAAAAAAAUAACAAGUAAUUAAAUGAACCAAUGAGCUAACUCAUUUAAUCCAUCAAUCCGUGAUGGGUCACACCAAAUUCAAUUUUUUUCGAAUCAAUAAUAAAUGAGUCUGGUUGAGUUGGGUCACUAGUGUCACUACAAAAAAAAGCUUAUUUAGAGGGGUUUUUUUUUUCGAUUUGCAGGGGUUUUUACCCUCCGCUAAAUGAAUUUCGGGGGUUUUUCAAACCCCCGCAGUUUGAGUCGCCACACUAUCUGCGAGGGUUUUUUUCGCCCCCUGGUAUCACAUUCAAUUUGCGGAGGUUUUUCUGCAGAGGGUAAAAACCUCCUCUAUUACUUACUAUUAUUUUGAGGGGGGUUUUAACCUCCUUUAUAUUUUUUGUCACUUUUUUGUUUAAUGAUUAUUAAUAUAUAUAAUAUUGUUUUUUGUUUGAUGAUUAUUUAAAUAUAUAAUAACUAUCUAUUUCCAUUAACUUCUUUUUUUUUUCAAUUUUAAAAUUAAAUAAAUUUAAUUUCUUUUUAAAAUUAUUAAAUACCAAACAAAUAUGAUUCCUUUGAAUAUAAAAUGAUACCAUACAACAAAAGCCCAUGAAUAGAAAGAAAUUUAGAAAAAUAAAUUGAGAAACAAUUGUAUAAUCACAUCAAGAUAGACUAGAAGUCAAUGUAAUCUCAUUACAGAAGUAGUUACAAAUAAAGAAAUGUUACUCAAUUCAUAAUAAACUAGGUCUAGUUUUAUCCUAAACCAAUAUCAUAAACUUCCUAAAUGUUACUUCCAUCAUAUGAUUGUCUUGUACCCAAAGGAGACUUUGACUCAUUUGCAUCACGAGCUUGCUGAAAUAAUAUAAAAAAAUUAAUAAAAUAAACUCAAUUACAUGUACUCACAUUUUGUAAAUAAUAUAUAAAAAAAUAAUCAAAUAGAAUUCAGUUUUAAAAACAACUAGCUUCCAUCUAAUGAUGUUUUAAAAAAAAUGUCUAAAAAGUAAUGAGAACUCACCUGUGCUGCUUCACAUUUCUAAAAGUUGGAUUCAUCAGUAAAAUGUUUCAAAUUGAACAAACAAUCUCAUUAGCAAAAAUAAUCAUAUAAGAUUUUGAGGUAACCUUUCUAGUGGAACUCGUAGACCUAAGGAUCCUCAUCCUUUCCGUUUUAGUUGAUUUAUGUGCAGCUUCAUUGAUCUUGAAAGCAGGACUAGACAAAGACAAGAUACAUGAAAUCGGACCUUAUAUACAAAAUAGAAUAAUCACUAACUAUUAGCAAUACCAACUUAAAUGAAUGAAGCUUGACUGCUGCUUUGUCUUCUUCCUGCUUUUGUUUGAUUCUCACCACUUGCUCCACCUUUUCUAUACAGUCAAUCUGAAAUUGAUCAUACAUAAGAGAUAUAUAACAACACCCCCCACCUUCGACCCAAAAAAAAAAUUAAGGCUGUAUGAUUGACUUGACAACACAUUUGAUUUUGAACAUGAUUUUGGAAUUUUUCAAUUGGCAAAUGGUCCAGAGAUCUGGACACGUAUUCGUGUCUAGGUCCUAUGUGAAACAGUUUUAAACAAUUUGCAUAAUCUAACUAAACUAUUCUAACAACAAACAUAGUCAAAAUUAUGACAGCAUAAAAAUAAAUUCAAAAUGGUUAUGGUGUAUGAAUCAUGAACAAACUUAAUAUGCUUAUCCAUUAUCCUAAACUUGGACACUUUAUUUUCAACUGACAUGUAAUACCAUAAACUAUGCCAAGCUGCAAUGAAUGUUGUCAUGUGUUUAUUACUUGUACCCCUACAUUCUUACCAUGAUUGUAACUAACAGAAUAUUCUCAAGGCUAGACUUUAGGACAAAAUAGCUUGCAAUCGCUCGUCUAUUUAUAAAGAACUGGAUUUGUUAAUUUAACAGCAUAAAGGCUAGAGAAGCGUACCAAAAACCUUUCUUCAGUUUUUGUCAUGAUAUCACUUUAUCUUUGACAAGGUAACAGAGACUAUAUCAUUUCUUGGGUUUUGGUGUUUGUGAAGGGGAAUCCUACCUUUUAUUGCCAUUUAUUGCUAGUCUAACUAGCAUUAUGAAGGUAGUGUUGGACAGUAGCACAUUUUGUUUGUCUCAAUUAUUUAGGAGCAAUUUAAGUUUUUUGACAUUUUGGUAGGAAAAAAAAAUAACAAUUGAAAAUGAAUAGUAUAAUUUUCUUUAUAAACCAAAAUAAAUUGUUAAAAACUUAAAUUAAGUUAGAAUGACUGAUUCUCAACAUCUUAUACAUGUAAUAAACCUUUACUUAUCUCAGGCAUUAAACUGGCAAGCAAUAUAAUAUAAGUAUCAAAUAGUUAUAAGGAAACAUAAAUGUUUUUAGAGAAUUAGCUUACGUCAAGAACAGAAUUAUUUAUUCCCCUUCUCCUUCUUUUUGUUUUCUUCUCACCACACUUGCAGCCAAAUCGAACAACUUAACUGAGAGUAAGAAAACUACUUAAUUCUGUAUCACUUGAUAAAAGAUCACAUAUACAUGAAGUUAAAACCAUAUCGGUAAUGUAGAAUAAAAAACUGAGCACUAGAUGCUUUAUAUCAAGAAGAUCUAGAUUACCAUUUCUGCAGGAAGAUUGAAAUAAAAAACUUUGUAACUUUUUUUAUUCUCCUUUGCCAAUGUCAAAUAUGUAACCUGGUAAGAGAGGGAAAGCAUUUAAAUUUUCUUGUCAACCAUCCAAAAAAGUUCAUCAUAGUAUUUCAGCUUAUGUUUACAAACAAUAGAAAAAGGCUGACCAUCCCUUCCAUCUUUAAGGUAAACUGUCAACCACAUUGUUGCUUCAAUUUUGUCAAAAUACUUCUCUCGUGAUCAUCAUUGGCACUCUUGUCAAAGAGAAGUCUUCGAGCAAGCUUCUUCCAGAAAGCAACAAAGCAAAAACCCGGUAUUAAUAUUAUUUUUCAAAAAUCUAACANAAACAAAAGGGAAUUAAGGACUAUUUGACNUGCUACAGCAAAAUAGUUGCACCAAGUAACUUGAUAAUUCANCAAACAAACAAAACCCCAUAACCAACAAGAGUUAUUCACAAAACACUCGCUCAGGUAAAAAUCAACAAGAACAUCGUGUCAGUGAAUUAAGGACUAACAAAUUCCAUAAAUCAUAAUAAUAUAAAAGAACCAUGAUAAAAUUAAGUGAAAUGAACGAAUAAUUGGUGUACAAAAACAAUGUCAGCAUAACAACCAUACCGGACAUCAAUAUAUUUGAAAUACGUUGAAUCCAGAAGAUCCACAACAAACGUAGCCAGACUAGUGGAACGAACCUGAUAGCACCAAUCCAAAAGUAGCAAAGUCGGAUCGAAACAACAAUAACAACACUUAUCAACAAAAUUGUCAUAACGCACAACACAAAGGAGAAGUUUGCGGCACAAAGCAGAGUGGAAGGCGCUGCCAUUGGCCACCGUCACGAACUCCAUGAGUGUAUCCAACACGAGUUCCUUGAGUGUCUCGUCAGAUUGUGGAGGCAAGAAUGUCAAGGAGUGACUUGAGGAACUCAUCGAAUUUGGAGCGGAGCCAGGUGAGGUAGAUGAACUCAGACUUGUCAGCAGUGGAGGGAGCAGCCGCGGAGGUAGCGACGGCGGAGGAGAAAGGGAUCUUUGGUAGAAGAGGGAGGAAGAAAGAGCGGAGAGAGUAGGGAUUCGAGGACGUGGUGAGGAGGAGAAAAAGGGGAAGGAAUUUGAGGAGAAGAAGGAGGUUGUUGAUGUGCGAGGCGGAGGAGAGAAGUUGGUUCCCUAGGGUUUUCAACUCUACGACGCUGUAUCUUCCUUUCUUAUUCCUUGGAGGAUCCACGCACGCCAUGGUUCGACGCAGAAAAGGAAGCCUGGAAACACGGGGAAAAAUGGAAUAUGAAACGUAUUAUGAAGUUUUGAAAAUUCAAGGAAUAAUGGAAAAAUUUUGAGCGUAGGAGGAAGAUUUGGGAAAUUUUGAGGGUAGCAGAGAAGAUUUUGGAAAUUUGAACUUAAGAGGGAAGGAUCAAUGCUAUAAAAUGUAUUUUAAUUUUAAGAGGUUAUAAACCUCUUCUAAAAACAAUUAAAACUCCCGUUAUUAUUCACGGUCCAAUAACUCAUUAUAAUAAUUCUAAAUAAUAUUAAUUUGUGGAGGCUUUUUAUAACCUCCUCCAAAUAACUCCCGCUAAAUACUUUUUUUUUGUAGUGUGUUGUGUUCACAUGAACAGAAUUUACUGUUCAUGUGGAUUGGCAACGAUGAAAAGGAAUGGAAGUCGUGUUCACUUUCGCUGAUUUGCAACGAUGGAAUUGAAGAGAAUUGCGAGAUAUUGCCUUUUUAAUCACUUGAAAAAGUGUGAAGAUUUGCAAUGAAUUGUAGGGAAAUUGUUACAAGAAAAAUGACAAUUCUAUACAGAUUAUUAUAUACGAAUUUUUUUCCGUAUAUAAUAAGGAUGUUAUAUACGGAUCUGUAAAAUAGUAUUAUAUACGAAAAAAUCCAUAUAUAAUGAGGAAAAAAGAUUAUAUACAGAUUAUUCGUAUGUAAUAUCGGUAGAUAAUAUUAAUGCAUGUUGAUGAGAGCUUUGUGAGGGAUAAAUCCGUAUAUAAGGUUGUAUGUAAGUAGAAAAAUAUUUACCCACUGAUGUUUUAUACGGAUGAAGGUAAUUAAUUAAAAAAUAAAUGUUAAUAUUAUACAAUAUUUUGAUUACGACUCUCUCGAGCCAAGUUUCUCCCAUUCUCGAGCUAGGUUUCUCCCCUUCUCGAGCCUUAGGUAUUCUUCCUUCUCGAGCCCUAGCUUGCCAUAGCAUCAAUCCACGAUUCUUUCUCUCUGAUUGUGCUGUCAGUCGUUGUUGUGUUGUCAACCCAUCAUUCUCCCUCGUCGAGCCUUCUUGUCUAUGCGACUGGAACUGUGUUUCUGUGUAGCCGAAGGACCAUUCUUCCUCAUUGGACCUGUAGUGUGGCAUUGUAGCUGUCGUUUUCCCUCAGUCGAACCGGAGUUGUGCCCCUACUCGAACCACUCUCGAACCCUAACUUGAAGUCUCCUCUGUCGAACGCAGUGAAAGCCUCCUCUAUCGAACGCACUGAAGCUCUUUGAAGCACUUAAAUGUGGUUGUGCGUCGUUGCCGGAACAAUCUCAGUUCAGCAAACACUGUCGUUCGACCUCCGUGGUUCGCUAAUUAAUCCAAACUUCCUUCAUUUUUAUAGUAUCUAUAAUGUUACAUUGACCGAUUAUUGUACUUUAUUCUUUGGAGGAUGGAAAUCCCAAUUUGUGAAACCCUAGGUUGGUUUGUUCCCAGUGGCAGAGAUAACCUCGAGCUCCAAUUGCCUUCUGUACCUGGUAAGUAUUAAUUCGUAAGACUUGGGUUUGUGUUUAUUGGAUAUUAUUGAAAAUGGGUAUUGUCUUCUCAUGAUGACGGUCUAUUUUAGUACAAUUAUUUAUUGUAUGUCUCGGUUGUUAGUGGAAAUGAUCUGGUUUAAUACAUGUUUUAUAAUCUGUUAUAUUGUGUUAGCCUGAUGAAUUAUAUUGUGUUAUAUUGUGUGCACUCUUUUGAAUUAGUCUGAUGAAAAACCUCCGCCCAAUUGUACCAUGUCUUAUGGUUCUGUCUGAUGAUUAAAAUGACAGCGAAAGAGACUGAUUUUUGUUAACAAGUGCUGGAUAUGUUUAUUUGAAACAAGGCUUUUCCAAGUACAUGAGGAACCUUUGUCUAGCAAGCAGAGCUAUGUUGCUUUCUGGACCUGCAGGUAUAUUACUUACAAGUUCUAUCUUUCCAUCCAAAAUCGAUUCAUAAUUGUGGUUGCUUUAUCAGCCAAAGGUUGCCCAAGCUUUAGCUCAGUGCUUUGGAUCGAAGUUGUUGUUACUAGACAUAAUUGACUUCUCCUUGGAGGUACUUAUUUACAUCUUUUCCCUGUGAUUUAAAUUACCACAAAUAUAGUCAUACAUGUCAUGUUUACCUUUUUACAAAUGUAGAGGAAAUAUGGAUGUCCCAGAAAAGAACCGGUAAGUUUUGUUUGUUCCAUAUUUUGCUUCUGCUUCAAGAUAAAUCACUAUUUAUUCACCCUGUCUUAAUCUAUUUCUAUACUUUGUUGUUACCUGCACGUACACAACCAAUUUAUUUAUUGAAUUUGAGAUGAUUUUGAUAAUUUGUUCAGUGAACUUUUUUGUGGAUUGUUUUUGGUUCCCUGAGCUGAAGUGCUCAUUUAUUAAUGUUUUCUUUUGAAAAGAGCAGUGAAAACAUUUAAGUGUUGGUUUUUGGGGUGAUUUUUCUAACCCGUUUACUUAUGACCGCAUUUUAAAAGGUCCAUUUAUGAGGUGACUGUUCAGCGAGUGUCGGGUUUGUUUGGGUCCUUUCCAAUCUUCCCUUCAACUAGCAGAACCAGAGGUACUGUAGGAAGUUGAACUUGAGCUUUUUGGAAAUGUUAUUCUUAUUUUAUGAUUACCUGUUAUGAAGUUUAGUUUAGUCAUCAUCAAUUAAAAAUGGUGAAUUAUUUGAAAUGUACGAACUGAUUAUUCUUUUUAUUUUUGCUAUCAAUAUCUCAAAGUGGUGCUCAUAAUUAUUGAGGGUCAUUAGUUGUUAUAUCAUCUAUGUCAUCUCUCUAAUGUUUCUGAAUUUGCAUUGACUGAUUGUAUCUUCCUGUUAUUGUCGAUUACCUAGACUGUGUCAUCUAUGUGAUUAAUUAUCAUUUCAUGAUAUUUUGAAUGCUAAUUUCUUCUCAGGUACACUACUUCAACAGAGUAGUGAAAUUGAAAAUUCUAGCAAUCCUCUGAAACUUUGUUGGAAUGCCUCUAGUGCAGGUUGAUGAGUUAGCUCAAACCCAUCCUUCAUUUCUGACAUUGAAGAGUGUGGAUCUUUCCCCAACAAGUUGGUUUCUUGGUGAGCAUAGUUUGUUGCUAUCUCUAAAGAUUUGGUAUUUAACUGAAGUGAAUCAUGUCAUGUCAUAAUGUGGUUGAUCUCAUGGCAAAGUUCAUCUUAUCUUGUUAAUGUUACUUUCUAUCAAAUGAUUAGCCUCUGUUAAUUUCUAUAGUACAUAGAUGUUAUACUGAAUUUUCAUCAUUGAAUAGGUACCCAAUUUAUAUUGUCCCAAGUCGAAACAAUGAAAAGGAAUUGGAAGCAUGCUUCCUCACUUACCAUACUCUGCCAUCAUCUUUCGAAGGUAUCUCAAUCUUUUUGUUUUUCCAAUCAAUAAUUGUAGUUCAAAUUGCAGUAUUUUCAAAUAUUAUAUUAUCGGAUUGUGUUCAAAUGAGUUAUAUAGUUUAUAGUUUUAUGCUGUUUAGUUUAUGUAGGCAAUUGUCAGUGUUGCUUCUUGCAUUAUUCAUGUUAAACUUUUUGUUCCUAAUUAUUUCUUUUUGAAUUAGGGGUGGCCUAUACAAGUUGCUUCAUACCCUGCCUCCGAAUGCUUCUGAGUACAUUUUACAAGCUCUGAAACCAAGGUAAUCAAGUGCAUUUUACAAGCUCUGAUAAGUAUUUGAUUGGAUUCUUUCUUGCAUGUUACGUGUACUUCGUUUGAUUUUGAAUUCAUAUCACAUCAAUUACCCAAAUCUUUUCUAAAAAAAGCAUGAUGAGUAAAAUAUUUUAAUAAUUUGAGUGUACACAUAAUUCAUGGUGAAUUUGAGUACAUAUCUUGAAAUUAAUAUAGUAUUUUAUGUUAUUUAUGUUCUGAAAAAAAUAAUGAUUAAAUUUAUAUUUUAUUCCAUAGUUUUUUGUAAGUAUGGUGAUAUUUUAAUUAAGAUCACUACAAUGCAUGAACCUAUCAAUGACUUUCCUUCAAAUAGUUUUUCAUUAUAAAAUUGCUGUUAGCAUUGAUGUUUCAUAGUCACGCUUUCAAAUUCCAAUCAACAACUAUUCCUCAUUCAUAUUAUAUAUGCGAUCAAAUUUUGCCUUUUACUUUUAUUUUAUUGAUGAGAUUAAUUCUUUGAAGAUGGAUCCUUUCACAUGAUUUUAUUAGCAUAAAAGAAAUAUAGAGCUCUUUUUUAUUACCACAUGGCAUUUGCUUUUAUUACCACAUAGCAUUUUACUUUUUUAUUUUGAAUGAUAAGCCCAAAAUGGAAUAUUUUAUGUUCUCUGUAUGUCUCUCUUUCUAACCUCUCUUUUUUACUUUUUGUCUUUGUUUUGAAAACUAUUUUAGGAACUUAAGAACCUAAGGCCUUAACUGCAUUCUUUUUCAUAAUAUUGUGAAAAAUCUUAUCUUCAUAGUGAAUUUAAAUUAUUACAUUUUCAAAUAUUCAUAAUUGCUUGCUUUAUUUGCUUUCUUGUUGGGCUUGACAUUAUAUGUGGCAUGUAAUAUCCUUGGUAAUUCAUGUUGUUUUUAGAUUUUUUUUUUUCUUUUCCUAUUGACUAAUUAUCACUUGUAAUGGAUAAACUUUUUCAGUAUUUUUAGUGUUCGAUUUAAGUGGAAGACAGUGUAUAUUGUUGUGUUCAACUGGCCUAAUAAAAAAGUUUAAUCUUGUUUUUCUUACCAGCAUUUGUAUUAGAUUCAUUAACCUAACAUACUUGUGAUUGUUUUCAGGAAAAAUUGGCAUUCAUAGAAGAGCUUGAACUUUUUCCAGUCAUGUUAGUUUCUAUGUUUCUUUUUAUAAUUUUAGGUUACUGUUCAUAGAUUUCUUUGUAUUUAUAAUCAUUUAAUUAAUUGUAUUGUAUAUUAUUCUUCAUUUGUAUAAAGGAUCAAAAUAUAUUUUUAAAUUCUUUCUUAAUUGUAUUGUAUACUAUUCUUCAUUUGUAUAAAGGAUCAAAAUAUAUUUUUAAAUUCUUUCUUCAUUUUAGUCUCAAGCUUCUACUUUCCCUUCUUUGAGAUAAUUAGAUAGUGUUAUAUGUUAUCACUGAUAUUAAUAUGAUGUUACUAAUAAUAAAUUAGCAUUAUAUUGAAGUUACAAAGAAAUAAUAUUUGAAGUUACAAAGAAAUAAUAAAGUGUGCAGCUUUCAAGCUAGCUUUUUUUAAUUUAGGUCUAUGUAUGAAUUCCUCUAUAAUUUUUUUUUUAUAAAAUUAUAAAGUUACAUACGGAUUUUUCCGUAUUACAUACAGAUUUUUCUGUAUAUAAUUAUAUACAGAUUUUACAUAUAGAUUUUUCGUAUGUAAUUUAUAUACGGAUUAUCUGUAUAUAACCUUACCUGCGCCACUAUUAUAUACAGAUUUUUAGCCAUAUAUAAUCCGUAUAUAACAUCACUUUAUAUACGGGCUUUGGAGGUUAUAUAUGGAUUUUUUUAAUCCGUAGUGAAUGGUUUUUUUGCCCUUAUUGAAAGCGCGGUACACGGCGAGAGCGUUUCCCUCUUGCGUGCGCAGGGGAGGAGCUGGACGCCACGGUCAACAAUGGUCGCCGGUGACGCCUUGGGCUGAGUGGGAGGUCCAUCGCGUUGGCUGGUCCGGUUCGGUUGUGGCAGAGUGAGUGCGUGAGUGACAGAAGUGGUGGCGUAUGUGCAGCGGAAGCAAACCCCUUCCUAGUUGCCAUUUUCGAAGGAAACCCUAAGUCUCUGGAAAGCUGAAAAGAGUGUAGAAUGAGGGGAAGUUGGCAGAACCCCCACUGGGUUUCUAGGUUAGAAGGGACUUUGGGCUUUGGUUUCUAGGCCAGUUUUUUCUAAAAAAAAAACAAAAUCUCUUUUUCCUUGCACCUUUUUUCUUUCAAAAAUACCAAAAGGUUUAGUGUAUAAUUUGAUAGAUGUGACAUAUAAAACAAUUUGUUUAAUUAGUAAAAAUUGAAAAUUACUAAAAUGUUCCUAGUUAUUAAAGUAAUAUAAAAUAAUAAUUAUUAAUGUUAUAUUUAAUUGUAAAAAAAUUUAUAAGAAAAAAUUAACAUUAAUUAUUUAAGUAUUAAAAUUUAAAUUUAAGAGCCCAUUUAAUAUUAUUAAAUUGUCUUUUAUUUAUUUAAAGAUUAAAUUAUAAGGUUUCUGAGUGGUUAUUAAUUUAAUCAUCAGACAAAAUCUUGAUUAAUUUUUAAGGUAACAUCAAAUGCUAUUAAAUAUUUAUAUAUUAGAAUAUAAAUUUUAGAAGAAAUUUAAUACAUCAAAUGUAUUUUAUAGGUUAAUAAUACUGCAUUAAUAUUGAAUAAAAGAAAGAUUAUAAAGAAAACAUAAAAGAAAACUUUUUCUUUCUUCCACAAGUCCUUUGGAUAAACAGACAGGCAAUGCUUUAACUCAGAAGAAAAGGGUGUGUGUUUGGUUCCAAAAGCUCUAGAGAAUAAGAUUGGAUGAGCCUCUCUAGCUUAUUUCUGUUUUUUCCUCACUCUAUUUCUCAGAUCUAUUACCACCCUUUCUGCAUUUCUUCUAUCUCUUACAACUCACAAUCUUUUCGUCCAUAUUUCCUGGCAAGACAUGAGUUAGGAGAUUUUGAAGAUACAGGUGUGCUCUUUCCUAUCUUUCAUCAAUAAAGUUCUAACCUAUCUCAUUUUAUUUGUUUAUUUUCAAGCUUUUUAGUUGUUGUGCUGCUUUUCCUUUUCUUUUUUCAUCUUGAGAGAGUCAAAUUUUUCGUGGCUCACAAAUACCCUUCAACAGGGCUAUCAGACCGUUUUCACAACACUAUUUUUCUUUUUAUUAAAUAACAACAUUUUCCUGUCCACAGUAUCUAUUAACUAAACGUUUAAAUUAGAGGUCAAAUUAGUGUUAUUAUUGUAGCCUGCACGACACAGUCUCAGGUUCGAUCAGAGGUGAAAUUUUCUUUCAUUAAUAUCCAACUAUAAUGACUCAGCAACACUAAUUGAUUGAAACCCUUGUUUUCUUAAUGAACAAGCCAACGAAUAAAACCACACGCCUAAGGUCAACGAACAAACCAUGUGUAAGGGUGUGUUGACUUCAACCUAAUUAUAUAUAUUCUAUCAUUAAGUAAUGCAAAACAUGGUAAUAUCUAAUAUACUUCAUGGGUUGGCGUACCCAUAAUUUAGGAUCGGGACUUAUUAUGAAAGUUCAUUACAGAUUUUUAAAGGUACUGAACGUUUAGGACAAUGAUAUUUUAACAAUUCUUUUUUAACAACUUUUUGACAACAGGACACAUGCUACAAUUUUAUUGUUCUGUUUGAAUUUUUUCUAAAAAAAUAUUUGAAACGGACCAAUCAUAAACUGACAUGUAUGUGUUGUCAAAAAAUUGUCAAAAAAAUGUUGUUAAAGAAACUUUUUCAUUUUAGUAUCUUAAACAACACCUAUAAACCUUUAACUCUUUGUUCACUUGCCAUAGAAAUUCAUAAUGGAUCAUAAUUUGAUCUCAUUCUUACCAAUUUUUCUAUAUUCAUUGAGUUUCAUACUUAUUGUUUCACAGUUUCUAAAAGUGAGAAACAGAUCCAAAAACUCAGUGAAAACAUUGAAGCUUCCCCCAGGGCCAUGGAAGCUACCUAUCAUUGGAAGCUUACAUCAUUUAGUUGGCUCUCAAUCUUAUCAUCGCUUCAGAGAACUAGCCCAAAAGCAUGGUCCUCUUAUGCACCUACAACUUGGUGAGGUAUCAACCGUUGUGGUUUCUUCUCCAGAACUGGCCAAAGAUGUCCUGAAAACCUAUGAUGCCAUAUUUGCACAAAGACCCCAUCAUAUUGGUGCAGAUAUCGUGUGUUACGGUUCCACUGACAUUGUCACCUCAAAUGGGGGGUACUGGAAGCAGCUAAGAAGAAUAUGCUCACAAGAGCUUCUAAGCAACACACGUGUGAGGUCAUUUCGAUCAAUAAGAGAAGAAGAAGUGUUGAAUUUAGUAAGAUAUAUUGAGACCAACACUGGUUCUUGUGUGAACCUCAGUGAGAAAGUCUCAUGCCUGACAAGUGCCGUCACUGCAAGGGCAGCUUUUGGUGAAAAAUGCAAGGAUCAAGAAGAGUUCAUUUCCCUUGUCAAGAAACUUGUGAAAAUUGCCGAAAGUUUAGUUAUUCUUCACUUGUUCCCUUCUCACAAAUGGCUUCAUGUCAUCGGUGGACAGAAACCUAAACUGGAAGAGUUGCAUAGAAAAUAUGACGAAAUAAUUGGAAACAUCAUUAGAGAGACCGAAAAAAAUAUUGGUGAUGUAGAGGGUAAUAGUCUCCUUUCUGUUCUUCUAAAUGUUAGAAAUCAAGGUUCCCUCGAAUAUCCUUUGACAAUCGACAACAUCAAGGCUGUAAUGUUGGUGAGUGUGUUUACUUUCAGUUAUUAUUUGCUUAUGUUACUGCAUAUUGUAGGAUUUAGGACCAACCUUCAUUUAAUGUCAAUAUAAAAUUAAAUAAACAACAACAUAGAGGAUUCCAACUAGUGUCACUGAUCGUGUUCUUUGUGGGAAAGUGUUGUAACAAAUGCAUGCAAGUGUAAAUUCCAAAGCUAAUAAUAAAUUUUGAAUUAAUUUUCCUAUUGUAGAACAUUUUUGGGGGUGGAACUGAUACAUCAACUGCAACUAUAGAAUGGGCAAUGUCAGAGAUGCUGAAAAAUCCAAAAGUAAUGGCCAAAGCUCAAGAAGAAGUUAGAGGAGUUUUUGGUAGCAAAGGAUACAGCAACGAAGAAUCACUUGAGGAACUAAAAUAUUUGAAAGCAGUGAUAAAAGAAACAAUGAGAUUGCACCCUCCUUUCCCUCUUCUUCAUCCAAGAGAAUGUAGAGAAACUUGUGAGGUAAAAGGUUAUAUGAUACCUGCUGGGACCCAAGUGAUGGUAAAUGCAUGGGCAAUUGGAAGAGACCCUGAUUAUUGGAAUGAUCCAGAAAAGUUUAAUCCUGAGAGAUUCAUUGAUAGUCCAAUUGAUUAUAAAGGUUCCCAUCAUGAAUUCAUUCCCUUUGGCGCUGGAAGGAGAAUAUGCCCUGGCAUUUCUUUUGGGGUAAUUACUAUUGAACUUUGUCUUGCACAAUUACUUUACUAUUUUAAUUGGAAACUUCCAAUUGGAGACAAAGAAAACCUGGAAAUGGCUGAAGCUUUGGGAGCCUUCUCGAGAAGGAAAACAGAUCUAGUCUUAGUUCCUGUUUCUCAUAAUCCUCCUCCUAUUUCAUCAAACCUAAAUUAAGUUUUAGUCAAUAUAAUGUGUCAAAAAAAAAUGUUAUUGUACAGUAAGUGCGUGUGAUUAAGGUUUUUAUAUCACAUUUCUUACUAAGAUGUGAGGUUUAUCUUUACAGAAAAUAUGCUCUAUAUUAGAACCUUGAUUUCCUUGUUUCGUUUGUUGUAUUCUAAUGUGAAAUUUUAUUAUUCUCUCAUGUAUUUAUCAUCUUUAUUAGAAUGACCAGUAAACUUCUUCAUUUAACCUUGUGAAUGUUAUAUGUAAUGUUAGUAUAAAUUUAACCUUGUUAUGAGAGUGAAUAAUCGACCAAAUACUUUUUUCACGGGUCUUUAUGUUGUGUUCACUUGCGAUGAUUAUAUUAUUCAUGAUAAUUGGCGAACGAUGAAUUAUGCUGAUUAACGUGUUUACUUUAAAUGAAUUGCGAGGAUUGGAUUGUAGUGAAGAACGGGAUUCGUGUCUGUAAAUUUUUAAGGAAAGAGGUGAGAAAAGCCAGAAAAAGAAAGUUGGAGAAAACUAAAAAAAUAAAAGCUGCUAAGAUUGUACGGGAGAGAAAAAAAAAGUAUGAGUGUUGAGUUAGAUACAGAAAAUAAGAAAAAAAAAAGUGAUUACUUUGCACUUUUAAUUUAUAAACCACGCUUAUUGAAAAUAAGUAUUUUAUUCUAAAUUACUGCUAUUAUUUUAUAACAUUUUUUUAAUUUCAAAUAUAUUUACACCUUCAUAUAAGGGGAAAUACAUUUUUUGUUAUUACAACGUACUGUAAUGUUAUUAAAAGGAAAUAAAUAUUUUGUAACUACUUUUUAAUUUUAAUCAAUUUUUUUGUUGUCUAAUAAAAGAUAUUUUCAUUAGACCUGUGAAAAUAGGUCACAAUCCGCAGGUUAAUCCGGUCCACCACGAGUUUGGGUCGGGUUGAGUUUGAAAAAAUUUUAUUUUUUUUAUGUGGGUCAGCUUUCAACCCGACUCAUGCGGGUUGAACCUACGGUGGGCCAGGUUGGCCCACCAACCCACCUACCUAAUUUUAUUUUAUUAAAAUUUAAUUUUUUAUUUUGCUUGAAAAGAUUAUUUAAGUUUCCUAAUUUAAAAUUUAAUUAAACAACCAUGUUGAAGUGAAAUUUGAGAGUGAAAUUUGUUCAUAUUUGAAUUAUAGAAAGUUUGUAAUUUUUUAUUUAAAAAAAUUUUAAUUAAGUGAGUCAGUGGACCAACAUGUUUAUCCACCAACCCGUGGUGGGUCGAGCCGGGUUCAAAUUUUUCUGACUCGCUAAUAAAUGAGUCGGGUUGGAUUGGCUCACUAGAUGACCGACCCGUAGUAAGCCGAAACGGAUCGGAUCAGGUUACCCGUUUGACAACCCUAAUUUUUAUUUAACAAAAAAUGUAAGUGUUGAUGUUCUGAAAUUUUGACUAGAGUGUUUUCUGUGAAGGAUGGUUCGAUCACAUUCUUCUGAACUUAUCACGAACUAUGACACAUUAGAUCUCUAACUAGGUUUUUUUUUUUUUCUGCUUUUGAUUUGGAAUUUUCUUUCUUUAAUAACUAUGAUUGUUGACAACAUCAAUAAUAGAGGCAAUCAUUCUCCAAAAUACAGUAAUUAAUCCAAACCAUUGCUUCCGUAAUGAACAAGCCAACCAACAAAUCAACAUGCCUAAGGGUGUGUUGACUUCAACCUAAGUAUAUAUUCUAUCACUAAGUAAUGAAAAACGUGGUAAUAUCUAAUAUAGUUCAUACGUUAGCAUAUCAUAAUUUGGGAUAUGGGCUUAUUAUGAAAGUUAAUUCAUUAAAGACUUUUAAAGGUACUAAACGUGUAAAUUAAUUGAAAAUUAGAUCCCAAAUCAUUGUAUAAUCAAUAACAAAUCGUUAAUGUUGAUUUAAACUUAUAAAUAUUAUAAAUGAGGAUCUUUUUCUUCAAAAACAUAUCACUUAGAAAAGGACUAGACCUCAAUUUGCUGAAGCUAAAAACUAACUAAUAUUUUUUAAAAUAAACCUGUACAAUACUAACUUAAAAGCCAAUAUUGAAUUUUUUUUUUUUUCAUUUUGACUUAACUAUAAUUUUGCUGUCUCUCUUCGACUUAAUUCGAAACAUAAAUAUAUUGAUCUUCAUAUCUGUUUUUUAAAAUCUUAUAAUUUUAUUGUAUCUUUUAAUUUUACGUAUAUUUUAUAUUUUAAUUAACUAUAUUAUUUCUAAUGAUACCGGAAAUGAACACUUAAUUUAUAGUCCUAUUAAGAUAAAAUAAAGGAAAUAAAAUAUGCAAAAUUUUGGUUAACAUUACUAAACCAAAACACUACUAUUAAUGAAAAUAAUGAGUUUUCAAGGUCAAUUAAGGUUGUAAACUCAAGUUAUUUAAAAAAUAAAGUCAAAUUAAGAUGUAAGAGUGAUUGUAAAUUUUAGUUUAUAAAAUUAAUCAUAAAAAUUGAAUUAAAUUCAAAAUCAAAAUGUUAUUUGAAUCAUCUGAAAUAUAUAUUAAUAAUAUUUAUUAAAUCCGUCACAUCACUAAUAUUUAUAAAUAAAUAAAAAUAAAGAAUAUUUUUGUCCCUGAAUGAAAAUAUCUUUAAUGAAUUUGUUAAUUUUCAAACCUAAAAGUAUUGGUGAGAAAAUAUCCAUUAUCUUGAAAAUAUUGCAAUAGGUAACAUUUCACUUAAAGUUCAAUAAAAGAUGUUGUGAUGAUACUUUUUUAAAUAGAGAAACAAAAUUAUGAAUGAAACAAAUAUAAGCAAAAGAAUUUUUAAUAUCUUAACUAACAACCCAUUUAUGAUAUUAUGGUGUGGAGCAAAAGUUCUAUAUAAUCCUCAAAAUCUUUGUUCACUUGCCAUAGAAAUUCAUAAUGGAUCAUCACUUGGUCUCAUUCUUAGCUCUUUUUCUCAGUUCACUCAGUUUCAUCCUUUUUGUUUCACAGUUUCUAAAAGUGAGAAACAGAUCCAAAAACUCAGUGAAAACAUUGAAGCUUCCCCCAGGGCCAUGGAAGCUACCUGUCAUUGGAAGCUUACACCACUUAGUUGGCUCACUACCACAUCAUCGGUUGAGAGAACUUGCUAAAAAACAUGGUCCUCUCAUGCACCUACAACUUGGUGAGUCAUCAACCGUUGUGGUUUCUUCUCCAGAAGUGGCUAAAGAUGUCCUGAAAACCUAUGAUGCCAUCUUUUCUCAAAGGCCCCAUCAAAUUGCCGCAGACAUCAUGUGUUAUGGUUCCACUGACAUUGCCACUGCACCAUAUGGGGGGUAUUGGAAGCAGCUAAGAAGAAUAUGCUCACAAGAGCUUCUAAGCAACGCACGUGUGAGGUCCUUUCGAUCAAUAAGAGAAGCAGAAGUAAUGAAUUUAGUAAGAUAUAUUCAGACCAACACUGGUUCUUGUGUGAACCUUAGUGAGAAAAUAACAUACAUGACAAGUGUCAUCAUUGCAAGGACGGCUUUUGGUGAAAAAUGUAAGGAUCAACAAGAGUUCAUUUCCCUUAUCAAGAAACUUCUAAAAUUGCUCGAACGUUUAGCUAUUUUAGAUUUGUUCCCUUCUCACAAUUGGCUUCAUGUGAUUAGUGGGGAGAAACCUAGAUUGGAGAAGUUUCACAAAAAAUAUGAUGUAAUAAUGGGAAACAUCAUUACAGAGACAGAAAAUAUUAUUGGUGAAGAAGAGGUCAAUAGUCUCCUUUCAGUUCUUCUAAAUUUGAAAAAGCAAGGUGGCCUCGAAUAUCCUUUGACAAUCGAUAACAUCAAGGCUGUAAUGUUGGUGAGUGUGUGAAUUACUUUUAGUAAUUAUUUGCUUAUGUUACUGCAUGCAUAUUAAUGGAUUUAAGACCAACCUUCAUUUCAUGUCAAUAUAAAAUUAAAUAACAAAGGCACAAAAAAUUCUAUCUAGUGUUAUAAUAUUGUGAAUAGAACUAUACACACACACGCUCGUAUAACUCUAUAAAUAUUAAUUCUUAGGAGUUGCAUUUUUAUGGGAAAAUUUUGCAAUAUAUGCAUGCGAGUAUAAAUUCCAAAGCUAAAUAAAUUUAAAUUGGUUUUGGUGUUGUAGGACAUGUUUGCGGCUGGAACUGAUACAUCAUCUGUAGUUAUAGAAUGGGCCAUGUCAGAGAUGUUGGAAAACCCAAAAGUAAUGAACACAGCUCAGGAAGAAGUUAGAAGAGUUUUUGGUAGUAAAGGAUACAUGAAUGAAGAAUCAUUUGAAGAACUCAAAUAUCUGAAAGCAGUGAUCAAAGAAACCCUAAGAUUGCACCCUCCCGGCCCUCUUCUUCUUCCAAGGGAAUGUAGAGAAACUUGUGAGGUAAAAGGGUAUACAAUACCUGCUGGAACCAGAGUGAUAGUAAAUGCAUGGGCAAUUGGAAGAGACCCUGAUUAUUGGAAUGAUCCAGAGAAGUUUUAUCCUGAGAGAUUCAUGAACAGUCCGAUCGAUUAUAAAGGGUCCCAUCAUGAAUUGAUACCCUUUGGUGCUGGAAGGAGAAUGUGUGCUGGCAUGUCUUUUGGGAUAAAUAUGAUUGAACUUUGUCUUGCACAACUACUUUACUAUUUUAAUUGGGAACUUCCAAAUGGAAACAGGAAAAACUUGGAAAUGACUGAAGCUUUGGAAGGAGCCUUCUCAAGAAGACAAACGGAUUUAGUCUUAGUUCCCAUUUCUUACAAUCCUCUUCCUAUUUCAUCAAACCUUCAUUGAAGUGUUUAUCACGUUUCACCAUUAUCCUUGUUCUUUCUUUUCUGUUACUUAUUGAGAAUCUUAUGAUUCUGACAGUAAUUUUGUUUCGUGUUCUGUUUCUGUUUUUCUUGUUUCCCUUUGUAACUCUAUUAAUAGAGUCUUCCCUUCCCCUUUCAGUUUUUAAGAAACAAUAUGAUUUUUCAUCAUUGAUAGAAAAUAAGAAAAGGUGAAGUUUUUCUUACCUCUNUCGUCGCCCUCAUCAUUUUUCUCUUCUAUGUCUUCUCCAUCGUCGUCGUGUUUGACGGUGAUCGGCAACCUUGGACGCGCUCCUCUCACCAUCGUCAGACGAAGCUCCGCAAUCCUUUCUCUUUCUUACUUUCUUUCGUUUUUCGAAUUCUGCCACGCACACAG
RNAcentral lists this long non-coding RNA (57409 nucleotides) under Vigna radiata. Its description in RNAcentral is "long non-coding RNA (VRAD_LNC004558)". The record is from RNAcentral. Lineage: Eukaryota; Viridiplantae; Streptophyta; Magnoliopsida; Fabales; Fabaceae.